RNAcentral lists this long non-coding RNA (46663 nucleotides) under Capsicum annuum. RNAcentral describes it as "long non-coding RNA (CANN_LNC007772)". The record is from RNAcentral. Lineage: Eukaryota; Viridiplantae; Streptophyta; Magnoliopsida; Solanales; Solanaceae.
AAGUCUCUUUCAAUCAUAAGAUAUACCAAAAUUCUACAAAAUUAAACUUCUCAAUUAGCAAUUGUCUAUCAAGAAUACAUAAUAAUUUAUAUAUUGUAUACUAAAAUAACAUACUAAAAUUUUAAAAAACUCACCUCAAAUCACAAACAAAUUUAUUUCUUUAAUCAUAGAUACUAUCAAAAUUUUAUUUGAUAGAAAAUUUUAUACCUAAAGAUGUUUUCCCCAUACAUACAGAAAAAAAGCUUGACAUUGUCUGCUUUGGUUCUUCCCAGCAACAAACCUACAACAAGAUCACGAAAAGCUCAAGAAAAAUUGUAUUUAUCAAAUUAUAUAUCGUAUUGAUUGAAAUUGACUCCUAAAUUAUAUGUUUUCUAAAAUUUAGAAUUUUAAAAUAUAGAGUAAAUAGUAUAUUUAAUUUUUUUUUCAAAAAAAAAAAACAUGUUAAGCACUUUUGUAUACUUUGUGGAAAUACACGUUUAUAUAAAAUAUUAUUUAUGAAAUAUAAUUAGGUAUAAUUAUUCCUUUCUAAUAUUUUAGGGGAAAAGGGAACACAAUUUUGGCCACAAAUUGUUCCGUAUUAUUGUUUAUCAAAUUACAUAUAAAAGUAUUGAAUAUUUUCUUAAUUAAAUACAUUAGAAGUAGUAGUAAAAUAUAUUUUUCGCUUACUAUAAAUUUUAGGAUGUUAUAAAUAUAUUACCAUAUACAGUGAAUGUCUACUUUAUCUUACAUAGUGAAUGUCUAAUUUAUUAUAUAUAGUGAAUAUUUAUUUAUGGAAAAGUUAGAAACCCCAAGGUUAGUUUUUCCCUAUAAAUAAAGGAGUUUCUCUUCAUUGUAAUUCACCCCAUCAAGAAUCUUCAUGAGAAAUAAAGAAGUCUCCUCUCUUCUCUCUCUAUUCUUCUUGUAUUUACUUUAUAUUUCAUAAGACGUUAUCAGCACAAGACUCUGCCAAAUAAGGUGAGAUUAUAAAAUUAAAGGUAAUUUUAUGGUUAGUAAUUCCUUGUAUUAUUUAUCUUUUGCUACUAAUGAUAUAUUUAUUAUUGAAUUUGAGGAAAAAUAUUUGGUUUGGAACCACUUAUGCUUUAAAUUUAUUCAUGAAGAAAAAUAUUGUUAAAAGCUAUGUUGAUGAAUUUAAGUCUCAUCUCAUUAAGAACUCACUAAGAUAAUCUCAUUAAGAGGGUAAGAUGUUUCGUUAAAAGUUUCAAUGCACCACGAUGAUAAGACGUUGGGUUAAAAGUUCCAAUGCACCAUGAUGAUAAAAUGUUGGGUUCAAGUCCCAUUGAGUUACAGACUAAGACGCCUUUUUAUGUAUAAGCUUUUGAGUUUGAAUCUCAAUACACCAUAUUGAUAAUAUUAUGAUGGCUAAGGCAAAAUAAUGGGUGUUUGGUGAAAGUCAUGAAACAUAUCCAUUGAUAUGCUCCAUGAAGUGAAUAUAGUAGCAAUAUAUGAUAAAUCUAAAAGUUGACAACUUGCUCCAUUCUUGAAGUGAAUGCGGUAGAAGUGCAUAAUAUGUCUGAAAAAAGACAAGGGAUGAUAUUUUCAUGUACUUAUUAUGAUUAUAAUUAAAGAUAUGUUGGAGAAAAGUUUUCUACAUUAUAUGUAUGCCUCGAUUUGCUCUUGAAUUAGCAAUAUGUUGAAAGAGGUUAUUAGCUAUCAUAAUUUGAUAGGCUUAAGGCACGAUUAUAUUCCAUUCUUGGGUACUGAGGGAUUUAUUAUAAUGCAAACGUGCACUUGAUUGUGAUGAUAUCACAACUUACCUCCGAAAGAGGUUGAAUAAUUGAGAAUAGUUAUUUUGGAAUCUACUUCUAAAGUAGUAAAUCUGAAAUUUAUUCAUGUAAUAGUAAAUCUGAAAUUUACUAAAAUAAAAGGUGCAUGUCAUGGUAAACUUAGGUUUACUAGAAUAAAAGUUCAUAAAUUGACAUGAAUGAUUGCGAAAUCCCAAAGUUGUGAUAUGUUGAAAAGAUGCUUCAAUAAGAUAAUCACAUGUACAUUUAUUGUCAAUCUGUAGUUUGACAUUCAUAAAGUUGUUUGCUCAAUAAAAUUGAGUUAAGAGCAUGAUUUUCAGAUUGUGUGAUGAUGAUGGUUUGGCAUUGAAUGUCUUUAAUAAAUAGUUAAAUCAUUGCUAAUGAGAAUAAAGCAUCAUAUAUCGAUCUGAAAUAUCAUAUGACCAAUAAAUUAUGAUUAUUUCCACCUUCUCAAUUGGUUCAAGGUCAGGAACCAACUAUUUCAUCUAAUAAUUUUGAUGCGUGGUAUACAAUUAAUGAAUAUACCAUGAUGCACAAAGAUGGAUUCCUCAAAGAAGAUGAAGGAUGUAUGUUAGUUUUUCUAGCAUAUGGGGGAGAUUAUAAGAAGCUAUUAAAUAUGUUAGGAAUUAUCAUCAGAUCCUCAUUCAAAAAGAUAAUUCAAGUCAAAUUGUUGAAAGCAUUUCAUAUUUAAUCUGCAAAUGCUUCUAUUUUGUGUUUCUAAAGGACAAAGUCUAUGCAUGCAUGAAGCAUGGUAUACAAAUCGAUUCCAAAUAAAAUAAUCCUUGAAAAGGAUAAGAAGCUCAUAAUCAUAAUAAGAAGGCAAUUUAUUCUUGAAGAUCCUACGACAUAACACUUCAUGUAACCUUAUGAGAGGUUCAGGUAACUGAAAAUAAUAAAAUGAUGAGAUCUGAAAAUGUUAUGUCAUAUUGUGAAUUGAUACGAAAUGAUGUAUCAUUGAUACAAUAUUGGAGAAAUAUUGUUAAAGAUACAAAGAUCAUAAUUCUACGUUUAUUCAAACAUGCUGAUGUAGAAACAUUUAUUAACUGACAUGAAAGAAUGCAUUUUGAUAAGCGUAAAACUUAAUUGAUGUGCAGUCCAUACACUUGAAGAUGUCGCACAUGAUACACUGAAUAUUCUCACUUAGACAAAAAUGUAUAUGAAAAUUCCUAAAGGAUUCUAAAUACCUGAAGCAUGUAAAAGUUUCUAGGAAACUUAUUUAUAAUCCUUAUAUUAUAUAAGCUUAUAGUUUGAAAAUUAUUGAAAAUCUUGGAGAAUUUUCAAAGCAAUAGAAUAUUUGCUUAAAUGAGAAACAUGCAUAAUUGAAUAAGGAUUCAUUCCGACCUCAAGAAAAGAAUGAGGAACUCCUUGGGUAUGAAGUACCAUAUCUUAGUGCAAUUGGUGCACUAAUGUAUCUUGCAAAUACUACAAGGCAUGACAUAACCUUUUUUGAUCAAUUUAUUACUAAGGGAUAUAUAGUUCAGCUCCUACUAGGAGACAUCGGAAUGAUAUCAAACAUAUGAGUUAUUUUAUUCUAAAGAUUAUAGUCUUGAUUUUGUUGAUUAUGCUGAUACUGGAUAUUUAUUUAACCCGCAUAAAUUUCGAUCUUAAAAAUGCAAUAUGUUCACAUAUGGGGACAUUGUCAUAUCUUGGAGAUAUAUAAAGCAGUCUAUCUAGUCAUUUUACUAAACAAUGCUGGUAUAAUAGCUAUUCAUGAAGCGAACCGAGAAUGUGUGUGGUUGAGGUCCAUGAUACAUCUCAUUCGAGAAAAAUGUGGUUUGAAAUAUGAUAAUGUAUCCAUAAUUUUAUACAGAGAUAAUGCAACUUGCAUAGCACAUUUUAAUGGAGGAUUCAUAAAAGGAAAUAGAACGAAGCACACCUCAUGAAAGAUUUUCUACAUACAUGAGCUAUAAAAGAAUGGUGAUAUUAACGUGCAACAAAUUCGUUCAAGUGACAAUGUGGCUGAUUUAUUCACCAAGUCUCCUUCAAUUGCAACUUUCAAGAAGACGGUGCACAAGGUCGAGAUGCAAAGUAUCAAGGAUGUUCCCAUUAGAGGGAGUUAAUAUGCGUUGUACUCUUUUUUCCUUACAAGAUUUUGUCCACUGGGUUUUCUUUGUAAGGUUUUUAAUGAGGCAGCCUAUAUGCGUAUUAUUAGAGAUGUGUACUCUUUUUCCUUCACCAGAUUUUUUUUUCCACUGAGUUUUUUCUAGUAAGGUUUUAACAAGGCACAUUAUCUAUUAAUUAGACAUUCAGGGAGAGGGUUAUAAACAUAUUACCAUAUAUAGUGAAUGUCUACUUUACCAUACAUAGUCAAUGUCUACUUUACCAUAUAUAGUGUAUAUCUAUUUAUGAAAAAGUUAGAAACCCCAAGGUUAGUUUUUUCCUAUAAAUAAAGGGGUUUUCCUUCAUUGUAAUUCACCCGUUCAAGAAUCCUCAUGAGAAAUAAAGAAGUCUCCUCUCUUCUCUCUCUAUUCUUCUUGUAUUUACUUUAUAUUUCAUAACAUAGGACACCUUUUAUCAAUUUUCCUAAUAUAUUUUUAUCACAUAUUUUUCUCUUACCAUAUAUUUUAAGAUUUCUUAGUUUUUAAAAUAUAUUUUCCACUUACCAUAUAUUAAAUAGUAAAAAGACAAUUUUGUCUAUUGCGAAGUAUUUUAAUGAAGGACAAAAAAUUCAAAUCACUUUUCUAAGUGUCUUUAUACUUUUAAUAUAUUAUAGAUAUAUAUUAUAGAUAUAGAUAUUGUGAUAAGAUCAUAAAUCCUCAUAAAUUCUGAAAGUAACUUAAUAUUAAAAGUUAGCUCAUUUGAUGUAAAUUGUUCAAGACCAUAUAAAGAGAUCAAAUUACACUUUUCAUAUUGAUGCACAACUCAAUUACCUUCUCUCACGCAAAAUUUAGUGAAUUUAUUAAUUUUCCAAAUAAAGUGAAAAAUUUUCAUGAUCAAACUUAAUGUAACGUUAUUUCUCUACAUCAAACAUUUAUUAACUAACUCUGUUUAGAAAAUUUAUCCCUAACAAAGAAAAAAGAGGUUGAGCCAUUAAGUAAGGGUAUUUGUGGUUCAGUAACUUCCAAACAGCGAAGACUAAACUAUUGAAUUAUAGUUAAUUGUACAAAGAGGGAAUAGAUAACUCAUAUAAAAAGUGAGUAAUAUAACUUUCAUGUGACUUUUAUAAAAAUUCACAUAAAUUAUAAAAAUAUAUAUAACUCACUUUUUAUGUGAGUUAUAUAAAAACAAAAAAGGAUAACUCACAGAGGUAGAGAGAAACCACUUUUUUGUUAAGCCGGUCCCAUUGAUUUCAUUCAAGCUUAUUACGAUCAGGCUCAUUUGGCUUAGAUCUUGCCUGGAAAUUGGUUAGGGUCAUUCGUUUGGCGCUUCGAGGUUGUCUUCGACUCAUAGAAUAAGGAAGCCCACUUUCUAGUCUCAUUUCUGAGUUAAAAAAGUCAAACUUCUGAAGUGAGUUGUGUGGAAACAAAAAGGAUAAUAACUCACUUAAAAAGUGAUUUAUGCACUUUUUGGUAACUUUAACACCGUUAAUUUUCUGCCGUUAAAAUAAAAAGGCAUAAUUCACUAAAAAAAAGUGAGAUAAGCCUAUUUUUGUGCUACUUUAAGUAUAUGGCAUAUUUUAAUACUUUUUUUAAAUUGAUGACGUAGUUUGGUCGCUGACUCUCUCUACAAUGUCAAAACCCUCCUCACCCUCAAAAACAAAUGAACUCACUACCCUAAAAAUGAUAGAUACUCCCUCUAUUUCAUCUGGGUACUAAGAAAGGAUUGCUAUUACUAAAUUUUACCCUCUGUCCCUGCGCAAAAUUGCUAGGAAUUUCAAUUCCAAGAAGGAUGAAACCCCCGAUGCUUCUCUGCAAAAAGAGAAAAUAUUAUUGAUGACCUUUUAAAGUCCAAAAUAGCUUUCCCUGACAAUGUUGUUCCAAAAUAGCUUUCCCUGACAAUGUUGUUCCUAGUGAGGAAGAAUACAAGGUUGAUCUCCUCAAAAGCCUCUUUUUUGCGCUCUUCUCUUAAGCCAACAAAUAUGAGGAAUCAAUCUCUGACCAACCAAUUCCUUUUAGUCAGGAUUUUGAUUCCUCCUAAAAGACCCAAACUCUCUCAUCUGACAAGUUCACUUCCUCCAGUAAAUCAGGUAGUGCUUCCUUGGAUGAAACCAUGUUUAAAGAUCUGCCAACUUCUAAGGAGCCUCCCUCUAACACUCAAUCCAUGAGCGAGGAAAUUGGAGUACAGGGCCUCACAGCCUUAAGUGUAGAACCACUAAGAUGGAAAACUCCUCCUACAACUCUUUUUGCAAAUAGACCAAAUGUCUCAACUUCUGGUGGUUAUAGUGAACAUAAGACCCUUUCCCCGGUACUUGAUCUUUCAGGUAGGAAUAAGACUAUACAAAGUGUCUCAGCUGGUGAUAAUGACAAACCACUGCCCUAGAAAUUGUCCUGGAAGGAAUCAGUGGCUUCAGGAAGAGAUAGGACACCAGGAACCAUGGCAAGUUGCAGAAAUACAAUGAAAGAAGCUCUAGUUAAAAACAAGAAUGACACCAAAAGGAGAUAAAGUCAGUAAAAAAGGAAGAGGGAUAUAACGUCCUGAAAUUCUGUCCCGGAGCGUCAUACGAUGCUUAAGGCUACAAGUAGCCCCAAGAUAACCCUUUGAGCCUGCUACUUAGUAUAAAGCUUACUUAAAGAUAAUGGAAGAAAAAUAAGGAAUCAUGUUAUAUCAUUUCUAACCGAAAUCCAAAUGAGUAUUGUAAAAGUAACAAAAUACUGUAAAUCUAAAUAUACUGACCAUCUAGUCUGACAAAGCCUCUACUACUCAAAAAACUAGAGAGCCAUUUGGACAUAUCCCUAACUAACUCGAACUGAACUGAAAGCAGUAGAACAACUACUAAAAAUACUGAAGUGUCUGGAGAUAGGUCCUUGAACCAUGAGGACUCACCAAAGUGGAGGUGUAGAUAAAGAUACUCGGGAUUACUGACGCUGCUGGGACUGAGCACCUGAACCUACAUUAUGAGACAAUGUAACACACAGACGUAUAUGUGGAUCAGCAAUUGGGAAUGUACUGAGUAUACGGGGGUGUAUGCAACUAAAUAUCAAUAUAAUAAAUCUUUAUAGAAAACAUACAUAGUUUGUAGAUGACUUGCAUAGCUUGAAUAAAACUCUCAUAAAUCAUGAAUAAUGAAACAUAUAGUAUAAUUCACGUGAGCCAUUACACUUUAUUCUAAAUCUGUAUUCUUUCUUUGAUCUCAAGCUUGUAAACUAGUUGAACUCUUAAAACAACAACUUUUAGAACAUGCAGUUUAGUCUUUUGAAAACAAGGAACUUCUUUGAAACUCAAGGACUUAAAACCUUAAUAACUUUAAGACUUGAGACCCUAUGAAACUUGGAAGUUUCUUCUAACCGACAUAAACCAUGUGAGCUACAUGGAGUCGAACAUCUUGUCCACGUUGGGGAGAGCUGUUCUAUCCUUGCCAUCAGAGUAGAACCUUUUACUUUUAGUGAUCACUAGCUUAACCACUUGGGGUAAAUCAACUCCUACGGUGGCUCAUAGUUCUGGGGCAUGAGACCUUGGAAUCAAGCCCAACUCAGUGCUAAAUACUACUCUCAUACUUAAACUCAGAACUUUUAAGAAAAAUACACCUUAAACAACUCAGAAUAUGCAAUGGAAGCCAACUAUGCUUCCCUUUAGCUUAAAUCAAAUGGUGUGGAUUUUCUUUCUUAGCUUAGGAUUAAAAUCAACACUUUUCUUGAAACAUUGGUAGACUAUCACCAAUAGGAUUUAAAACUUUAAUAGCAUGGAAAUAUCAAUACACUUCUUGAAACACUUUAGAAAGUAUCAACAAUUCAUUCUUGGACUUAAGGCAUGUAUAUUCUUAAAGGAUCACAAUUUCACAAUAAACCUUAAUUCAUGACACCAAUCUUGGAAACUCUUGAAAAUAUCACAUCAAUAUAGGAAUGUGCAAUUUAUAGCAUGAAUUAUCAAUUCAAAUCAUAAAUAAGCAAAAUAAUCAUGUAAUUCAAAGCUUGAACAACUUAUCAAUUCAUAUUCUCAAAAUAAUAUAAUUUGGGUAUUGACCCACUUGCAAAAACAUGAAAUUCAUUUUUAAAAAUCGAAUCUUUGGUCACAAGAAUGAAAGAAGUGUUCUUGUUCAAACCCCACAUACCUUGAAUUAGGAGCUUUGGAUGAACUCUAGCCCUUGGGACUCUAUUCAUACACUUGAAUGGAUAUUCUUGAUGGUCUUGGUUUGAGGAAUCCAAUUCUUAAAUCAAUUUGGAGAAUUAAUGGUGAACUUAGGAGAUUCUUGGAAUUGGGUUUGGAUGCUUAGGAUUUUUAAUUGAGAGAAUUCAUUGAGAAAAGUCGUAUACGAUGCUUGGAAUGACCUUGGAUUAGGUGUUUGGAUGAUUUAAGGGGCUUGAAAAAAGUCCAAAGUGCCCCCUACGAAGCUGGAAAAAUUGAACUGAAAAACCUGAUUUUAUGGGCCACCGCAAUGCACCACUAUCGCAGUGUCUUACUGGAAUUUGAUAAGUGGGAUUCUGGGGGUCACCGCGAUGCGGUGCUAUCGUGUUGUCCUACUGGUUAGGACCGGGAACUUCACCAUGACGCGCCGCUAUCAUGGAGUUCCACUGAAAAUUGAAAAUUGUCAAAUAGACCCUCUUCUCGAUGUGCCAAGCACUAAAAUAAUGUUGUUUUACGACUAGGACUUAAAUUAGCCAUAACUUCUUGCCCGGUUAUUGGAUUUGGGUGGAUCAUAUAUCAUUGGAAAAUUAAUUAAAUUUCUCACAUGAUAAAAAGUCGAAAUUAGGAAAAUUCUAUAUGGUUUAAAUGAUACUCACGUAGGAAGUUAUUCCUUAACCUUCUCGAGGCAAAAUUAAGCUUAAGAAAAGUUUGGGGUAUUACAAGGGAUCUCCUAAAUUCUUAACAAUCUGUAGUGAUCUGAAUGACAUGAAUAUAAAGAAUGCUAUCAAGAAGUCACUGAAGGGUGAGUACCAACUCCUCUUUGAGUUGGUGAAUAAGUGUUUUCUUUCCCAAAUAGAAAAAAACCCACUGUAACAAGCACAGAUUUAUGUCUCAUGGAAAUGUUGGCCAAGUUUAAGACAAUCAAUCUUCCUACGCUCAUCAUUGAGCACAUAUAUACAGUGAUGAUUGCAAAGAAUGGAAAACAUAGGUUGGCCUAUGGGUUCUGGCUCACAGGAUCUUUGAUCAUUUCAAUAUGAUGUAUGGGCAAGGGAAAGUUGGAUCAAUUAAGCAGGUGUUUAACUUGACCACUCUGGAGGAUAAUGAGUGUGUCCCCAGGAGAGGUGGUGGGAAGUCCAAGUCUCUUGUAUCUGAACUGAUGGAAACACAUAAGAGGUUGAAGAAAGAACUAUAGUCCAUGACUGCCUUGAUUUCCCAUACAGAUACUGAAAUUAUUGCACUAAAAGCAACAUCUACAAAGGUAGGAGAAGUAGAUACAGAUUCACAAAAAAAGUUGCAUUCUAAAAAUAUUUCCCUAUAGGAAAGGGUGAAGAAUCUUGGAGACAAAGUUGAAACAUUAACUGUCAAAAAUGAGGACCUUACUCAGCAGAUCCUUGAAGUACAUGCAAAAGCAAGUGAGAGGAUGGUAAUGUUUCUUAGGAAAUAGUCAAAAGUUUCUUUCUAGAUUAUCUCAUUUCUUUAAUCCUCACUCCCUCUCCCUCAACUCCUACUCUUAUUGCUUCUGUGAUGACUUUGGCACAUGUAUAAGUUAUUUUACUGUCACUAUCUUUGAAUGGUUUUUUAAUUGAUCUAAUUUGAUAUUAAAAGUUUGUUUUGUGUUUCCCUUCUUCUACUUUUAUCUGCUAUCUCUUGCAUCUGUAAGUGUUGCCUCUAUGACCAUGAAUUAAUAUAAAUGACGUAUCUAUUUCCUGGUUUACUGUUUAACCUCUUUGAUGAUGUCAAAAGAGGGAAGUCGUGAUGUGUAGAUAUGUGGGUGUAGAUAUGGAUUCGUAGAUAUGUGGGUGUAGAUAUGAAAUGUGUAGAUAUGUGGUCGAAAAGUUGUAGGGUUGUGUUUGAUAAUAGGAGUUCUCUCAUUUGGGAGGAACUUAAUUCUCAUUGUUAAGGGUAAUAAGGUGGAGGAUGCUUAUAUACUUAUAGGCAUCAGUGAUGGGGGAAUUGGUUGUGAAAACUGGUCUGGCAUGUGGUCUUAUGGCUUAUGUUAUGUUUUUGAGGUGUAGGUUGUGUUGUGUAGAAGUUUAUUGAAGAUGUUGAGUGUGCUGAAUUGAUUGUAUGGGUUUGUCAUCAUCAAAAGGGGGAAAAUUGUUAAGUUCAUGCUUUACAAAUUCAUAGCUUUGGACCUCUUCCCUGGAGGUUUUGUGAUGACAAAAGCUUCUACGCAUCAGGGAAUAGGGUGGGCUCACCGGUCGCUGUCACAGUCAAACUGCCACGGCUGACAUAUAGUACAAAAGUUGGUGAAAAGUUGCUGCAAGCUUUUUGUCUCAACCAAUGAGAUCUCUCCUAAGCUUUUUGUGUCAUAAUAUAUAUUGCUCAUCUUCCUCAAUAAGAAAACCAACACUUUUAUAUACUUACAAUUAAAUAUCUCACUGAAGUGGUGAAUCAAAGUCUGAAACUGUAACAAGGAACCUAUUGUUUAUCAAGUUGUAUAUUUAUUUCCUAGUUAUAGUUGAGUCUUUGUAUAUUGUACUUAAAUAAAUGAUUACCUACAGUAGCUUAUGAUUGUAGUAGGUAUUGUGGUGUAACCAUUUCUUGUAAUCAUCUAGAGUUAGGCGAUUGUGUCAAGCUAGAGUUAGCUUGUGAAGUCCAGUUAGAGUUAGCUGGAGGUGAGAAGCAGUAGAGUUAUUGCUUGGGUUUCCUUGUAAUAGAGUUAUUGCCAGAAAACAAAGGAUUAGGAGUCUAAUCCUUAGAGUAUGUAUUCAAGAAGUUGCUUGAAUAUAGUGGAGCUUAAAAUCCUGGAGGCAUGUCGCGGUUUUUCUCCCUUGAGCAGGAGUUUCCAUGUAAAAACUCUUUUUUUUUUUACUUUUUGUAUUUCUGCACUUCUUACUUUGUAGAUCUCCUAGUUCUUGUUGCAUGAGUUUAUCUGAGAACAGUUCCCUGAGUCGAGGAGCAACUCACCCCAACCCUUCAGGGGAAGACUACCCUCACACACCGCCACAACAAAAGGAAAAAUAAAACGACUUAAGAGUAAUAAUUGAGCAGAGUCAACUCAACAUUAAUUAAUGUACCAUCUAAGAUUAUCUUUAUGCUAGUAUAAACGUACUGGUUGUCAGCUAACAGGAUAGUUGCAUUUCACGUUACUCCAAGGGUGUGUUUGGUAUGAUGGAAUUAUUUUUUAGAAAAUAUUGUCUUAUUUUUUCUUGUUUGGUUGUAAUAAACUAUUGAAAAAAUAUUUUCCAAAGUGACUCAUUCUCCUCCAUUUGACAGAAAAUGACUUUCCUGAUGGGCCGAAAGUGUCGGUCAAAAAAGUACAAUUUGUGUUGUCAUUCGUCAAUGUAACAAACAAGUAGACAAGUUGUAUAUAAUGUACAUCAAUUGGGUAACUGGUGGUCAGUGAAAUUAUUUUACUAUGAUAUUAUUGAGAUAAAUUAUGGAAGACAAUCUUAUUAUUUUGUUUACAUCAAAGAAAUAUUCAAAGCAAUGUGUAAACAUGGGCACUGAGUAAUGAAGAUAAAUUUAAAUACUGAAAUGAUCCAAAUGAAAGAUACAACUAAAAUCAUAAUAAUACAAUGAUAUCUGAGUUGAGUUGGCGCAUAACAGAGAUUGAAGAACUGAUACAAAACAGGAGGGAUUAGGGGUGUGUUUGGUACGAACGAAAAUAUUUUCUAUGGAAAAUGUUUUCCUAGAAAACGUUUUCUUGGAAAACAAGUAGAUUUCUCACUUAUUUUCUUGUGUUUGGUUGGUAGAUGGAAAAUAUUUUUCGGAAAAUAGUUUGUAAUGUUUGGUUGGUGAAUGAAAAAAAUAUUUUUCAAAAAAUACAUUUUAAUCUUUAGCUAACACGUAAAAAUACAUUAUAGAAAAAUAUUUUUUGAUCUCAAAAAAUAUUUUUUGGGGUGUGUUCGAUAUGAAGGAGGAGAAAUAUUUUCUAAAAAAAUAAGUUGUUUCUUACUUAUAUUUAGGGGUGCAUUCGGUUUGUUCGGUUUGAUUGUUGAAUAUCGGUACAGUUUUUUGGUUUUCGGAUUGACGAAAAUGACAAUCAUAACCAAACCAAAAUUAUUUCGGUUUGGUUCGACUUUUACAAAUUCGGUACGUAUAUUUCGUAUUUUUAUUUUGAUUUUGAAGAUUAAAGUAGUGAGCAUUUAAAAUUGGUGAUUUUUCUAGAAAAAUAAUCUUUUUUCAAACCUAUUUUCAUUCUUAAAUAUAAUUAAUUCAACACGAAUGAAAUAAUCAUAAAUAUCGACUUCGCUGAGUUAUCAUUGUUGGCGUAACGACAAUGAUUGCACGCAACAGCGACUGUCGACAGCAGUGACGGGGUUGUCAAAAGAGAUAGUAAGGGUGGGUAAGAAAAUAAUUUUAAUUUUUUAAAAAAUAAUUUUUUUUGUGGGGGUGGAGGGUGGAGAGAGGUUGGGGGCAAGUACGAGGUGGGGGGUAGGGGUAGGGGUAGGGAUAGGGGAGUAUGAGUCGGGUAAAAAAAAUUUGAAAUAUGUUUUUGAAUGUGGGUAGUAGGGGGUGAGGGUCGGGGUAGGGGAGUGAGGGUGGGGUAAGAAAAAAUUGAAAUUUUAUNNNNNNNNNNNNNNNNNNNNNNNNNNNNNNNNNNNNNNNNNNNNNNNNNNNNNNNNNNNNNNNNNNNNNNNNNNNNNNNNNNNNNNNNNNNNNNNNNNNNNNNGAAGUAGCGAUGAGUGAUUUUGAGAGUUAUAUGAAUAUUUCAAUUUAAGAGUGAGGUUGAAAAAGAAUUUUGGAAAAUAUUUUCCUUACUUUUUGAAGGAAAGUCAUUUUCCUUAGUUUUAAGGAAAAUAAGUAGAUUUGAAAAAUAUUUUUCAAAACUUGUAAGCCAACCAAACAGGAGAAAACUGAAAAACAUUUUACAGAAAAUGUUUUCCUUCAUACCAAACACACCCUAGGACUUAAACGUUUAAGAAAUUGUGCUCGAUCAAUGUCACGUAAUAUAUCACAAGAGUUAAUUUUUCUCUAAAUUAUUUUUUCGAAGAGAACAACCGAAUGCAAAUACGUAUCAUAGGACUUGAUAAAAUGGUACCUUCAACAGGUCAAAAUGGGAUUUAGACUGCGACAUGUCAUGAUGAGUUUUAAGUAGUUAGUCGAAGUUUGGAUUUAGCUCCAAGUGGGAUGAGUUUUAAUCGACAUGUGAGUGAAUUACAAAAUGAUGAGUUUUAAUUAGUAUUAUUCCUAAAUUAUAUUUGAAGUUGUUGUGACGACGCACCUAAAUUUUACGAGGAUUUUAUUAUCCUUUUAAUCAGUUUUAAAAUGUAAUAAAUAUAUCCUUCAGUGCUGAUGUGGCAUAGAGAGUGUGUUCACUCUCUUAGAAGCAAGUGAGAAAUGAAAAAUAAGACAAAAAUUUGUUCAAUAAUGAACAUGUGUUCUUUUUAAUUGGACAUUUUACAAUUAGUUAGUACACAUAAUUAUAAGCAGUAAAAAUUAUAUAUGUUUAAUUAUUUUUCUUUAUUUAUUUUUAAAAAAUUUAUUUUCCUCCUCAUUUUUAAACUUUUAUUUUCUUUUCAUCUUUCAUCGAUUUCUCAUCUUUUCAAUUUUAAAUGAUUUGAAAAAUUACGUGUUUUUUCUCGAAAAAAAACCAAGAAAAUAAAAAAAAAUCUUUGCUUUAAUAUUUUAUUUUUUAUAUUUAAUUUUCUCAUUCUUUUGGUAUCCGUCCGAAGUUAGCUUAUUUUAAAUACAAAACAUUGAAAUUAAAUUAGAAAUCAAAUUCAAAGUAAAUAAAAAGAAUAAAUAAAAGUAAUAAAAAUAAUGGAAGAAGGUAAAAAAACAAUUACAUGUAUUUGAUAAUAAAUAAGAAGGAAAGAGAAAAUUAAAAAAUUUACAUAUAUUUGAAAUUUUUUUGGUCACUACAUCUAAUUGAUUUAGGUUGUGUUGUCAAGUCAACAUUAAAAUAUGUAUUUAUUACACUUUAGAAUAGUUUAGGGUAAUAGGAUUCCAGUAAAGUUUUGAUGUAUCAUAGUAACUUCGACUAUAGUUUGAGGGGAUAAUAAUGUCUUAUCUCUAGUUUAUUAGUUAAAUCUAAUUUGGGAGAUAGAAUAAGAUGAACCAUGAGAGUUAUUAAUCUCGGCUAUAAACUUAGGGGCAUUUGAGCUAAGCUUAGUAAUGAUAAGGGUAUAAAUAAUCUGACAUUAUAAAAAGGACAAAGUUAACUAAUAAAAAAAAUGGAAUAGUAUAUUUUACGCUUUUUCCCUUUUUAAAAGGAAAAAAUUGUGCUCUGUCCAUUGAGAAAAAUAUUUACGCGCUUUAAUUCAUAUUUAGAUUAGUUUGUUAUCCGGUUUAGCAUAUGUUAAGUAUAAACACCUUCUAUAUAUUAGUAUAUAUUUUUAUACUAGAUUGAUACAUAAUACAUUCCCAUAUGUAUAAUAUUGUAUAAAAUAAAAAUAUUACUAUAUGAUGUAACACUUUAUAUUGUGCUAUAUGUUUUUGAAAAUUUUCCUUUUCAAAAUAUAUAAUGAGAUGUCAUUGGAGUUAUUAAAAGAAAAAAUUACACAUCAUAGAUAAAAUCAAGUUUUUAAUUGCCUGAGAUGAUUAAAGUUUAGUUACCUUACAUGGUUAUUUGUUAAUUUUAUAACUGUUUUUCAUAUGGGCGCUCAUAUACAAAUAGCCUACAGUAAGUAUAUAAUUAAUAUACGAUUUUCUCUUACCUAAUUGAUUGCAAAAACACUCUCUCUCAUCUACUUGGCUAUAUUUGUUGUUGAGUGAACUAUGCAAUAUCAAUACAUGAUUCUUAAGAAUAUCAAAAAUUUUCUGUCAAUUGAUUCGUAAUUUUUUUAUCUCUAAACAUCUGCUUCGAUAUAUAUUGAUGAUUUUGGAGUAAUCUUUACAACUUUAGCGGUUGGUGGUUGAGAGAGACAACAGGUGGUGUUUAUAGCGGGGAGGUAAUUGAGGAAUUGAGUGGAUCGGCCGAAAAAAAAAAGAGGGAGAGAAAAGUGGCGUCGUUCUUGGGUGGACGGUGAUUGAAUGAUCGGCGGGAGCAAAGAUGGAGAGAAGGAGCGGUUGGUGGUUGAGGAAGACAGUGAUAAUGUUCAUGGCAAAAUUUGUCGUUGUCUCAUCGGUGUCGUGUAUGCAUGAUUUAUAUAGAGAAAAAAUUGAAAUCCGUCGAAUGUGAUUGUAUGAUCUAAUAAACGAAUACAUUUGAAGAGCGGCGUUGUUCAUCUCAAUUUUCUGGCCUCAUAUUCAGUUGAACAUUUGAGACAAACCUUAACCAAUUUGAGCAUUCAUUAACCAUUGAUGUAAUGUUUCUGCUUCAUCUUAAUUUUACGAAAAUCUUAUACAAAAAAAUGUAUAAUUUGAAAAUCGAAUUGUAUACUAGUGUCAAUUUCACAGGCUGAAUUUUGAUGAAUUAUUUUCAUAAUUGGAUAUUCGGCCAAAUUUUAGUGAAUUUUUGGUAAUUUUAUAUAGGUGAUUUAACUGUAUUCAGUCCUUUUUGUGUAUGUUUUUGUAUGUGGGUAUACAUUGUAUGUUUUUAUAUACAUAUGAAUUUAUUGGAUAUAUGUUUUUUGAUAUAUAUAUAUAUGUAUAUUAUUGUAUAUCGAUACAUGUGUACAAGUUUGUUCUAUGCUGGUACACAUAUACAUAUGCAGAUACAUAUGUAUAUAUGUUUGUUAUGUAUUCAUUUAUACAUUAUGCAUAUACAUAUGUGUAUACGUCUGUUUUGUGUUUUUUUGUGUGUGUGUUGUGUGUGUGUGUAAUUGUUUUCAUAUACAUAAGAUGAUUUUUAUAUAUUGUGUAUUACAAAUUAAAAUGAGUAUCAACGCAUUCAUAAUACUCAGAUUUGCUCACAUACGUAACCUUCAAAAUUUGAAUUUUAAUAUUCAAUAAUAAUGGAAAAUGUUAGAGAAUAACGAGGGAUGUUGGAGAGAAUAAAGAGAGUGAAUCACUCCCUUUUUCUUUUAUAUUUCUAAAUAUAACUGAAAUAAAUAAGACAAAAUCUGUUAGUUAAUAUUUGUAUAUUAGAAUACUAAAUAUUAGAAGGGGAGCCUUGGAGUAACUGGUAAAGUUGAUGGCAUGUGACCAGGAGUUCAAGGGUUCAAACCUUGGAAACAGCCUUUGGCAGAAAUGCAAGGCAAGGCUGUGUACUACACUCUUGUGGUGAAGUCCUUCCCCAUACACCACACAUAGCGGUAGCUUUAAUGCACCAGACUGCCUUUUUAUUAGAAUACUAAAUAUAUUUAAUUAAUAAUUGAAAUCUAUAAAAUGUAAUUAUUAAAAUUUAGACUAAAAAGUUAGUUAGGAGAGGUCUAAAUUAGAUAUAAAUAAAAAUUUUCCUUAUUAAAAAAUGUUAGUGAAGCAUGAUCUUAACAUAUUCAAAUUAAAAAUAGAAAGACUUAAGAGUCUAAAUAUAAAAUUCAAAAUUAUUACUACUACUAAAGAUUAAUCAACUUGGAAUAAUUAAUUAAGAGUUUAUCCUCCAUUCGUUAUACUACUACAACUUUGUUAUUGCAGUGGGGAUCUAAGUUUCUAGAAUAUAGAUGCAUUCAUUAGAAAAAUAAUUAAAAAAAUAUAUUUAACAGAAAUUGAUUUCUAAUCCUCUGAGGUAAAUAAUUCAAUUGUCAAUUAAAUGCAUUAUUUAGUCUUCUUGUUGCAUAAAUACCAUCCAGAUAAUAUUAUACAAAAUUUAGAAAAUACCUGCUCCGUUUUAAUUUAUCUGAAACAUUUUUAACUUCAAGAUUUAAAUAAGUUUUUCUUUGAUCAUAAUUUUCUUAUAUAUCUUUUAAAUGUCUUGAAUUAUGAAUUAUUAUAACUGAUGGUAGUACAUUUUACAUGAAUUUUUUAAAUAUGUAAAUUUUAUUUUAAAAAAUUUAAAAAUUUUAUGUCCAAAUUAACAAUCAAAAUUAAAUUAUAUAACUCUUGAAAUUCAAACUAUACCACAUAAUAGUCAAAACUAAGAAUGGUAUUGCAACAUUACAAAGUCUUCCCAUAAGCUGUUUUUCCUGAAUGCACCAAACAAGUAGUAUAUAACAUAUAUUAAUUGGGUAAUUAAUGAUCAAUAAAAUUAUUUUAUUAUGACAUUAUUUAGAAAAAUUAUUAUUUCGUUCACGUCAAAAGAUAUAUUCAAAGCAAUGGAUAGAACAUGGGCAUUGAGUGAUGAAGAUGAAUUUGAAUUAUCAAAUGAUCCGAACGAGAGAUAUAGUUAAAAUUACAACAAUACAAUGAUAUCUGAGUUGAAUUGGCGCAUAACAGAGACUUAAGAACUGAUACAAAAUAGGAGGGUAUUAGGACUUAAAUGUCCAAGAAAUUGCGCUAGUCAAUACUAUUAUAGUAUUUACCCUACUGAUUUUAAUGUUUUAGUCUAUUAGUUGUCUAUCAAUGAAAUAAGUAAGCUAACGUGGUUCACUUAGAGUAAAUAUGAAGACAGUAUUUUUUACGUGGAAAACACCCGGUUCAAGGUGUAAAAAAUCACGACAUGUACCUCUACAGGAUUUAACCCCAACUUCACUAAAACUCUUGAGCCUUAACAAUCAACAAAUUUCAAGACUCUUGUAAACUAGGAAUUAAACUUCUAACUCCUAUUUCUACAAUAACACAAAUCUUUCUAAGAUAAGUGUUCCCAAAUCUUCGAGUUUCCUAACUUGAAGACACAACUUCUAACUCAGUUUAUAUUUCACUGAGGCUAGACUUAAGACUCAUUACAACUCAAAGAACCAACCUAUUACACAAAGUUUACGGCUCUCUAAGUAAAGGACCAGGUUCUUCUUCAAGCUAGUGAACUGAUUUGCUGAUUGAGGCUUUUCUUAUUAGUUCAUGAGUGAAACUUCUUUUGAUGGUUUCUUCUAUUUAAGCCGACUCUCAUGUAGUCCUACAGACCAUCUAAUCUUCUUUCUUCAAUAGGACUCUUCCAGGCAGUUUCACUCCUAGUUGCAUUAUGUCUCCUUGACUGAGUAGGAUUCCUUUAUUUUCUCAAUUUUCAAGUGUUGUGUUUAUCUUUCUUUCAACCUCUUUUAUACAUGUGAUAAGCGUUGAAAGCAUAUCUGAAUUUCCCUGCUUAUCCACUCCUGACUUUACGCAUUAUCAGCCUUGUAUCUACUUCAAUGUUUCUCACAUAUGAGGACCAGCAUGAUUAACAUGGUUCAUUAACAUAUGUCAAUCAUCAAAACUUCUUUGCUCUAACAAAUUUCCUUUUUUAUGAUGACAAACCACACAACACAUGUUUCACAGCAUCACAACAUCCUGAUAUACUCAUUAAAGGAAUAAGACACAAGAACACCAAAAAAGGUUAGUCAUUGAGUUAUAAACAUUGCACAAUCUAAUACUUCCUCCUUUUGACAUCAUCAAAAAGAAAGGCCCGAAGUCAGAAAAACAUUGUUUAAUAAUCCAUGGCCAAUGAGGCUAUCACUAAAACAAUCAAAAUUCAGUGCAAAAGAACAUUUAUGCAUCAUGAAAAACAGAAGCAGAACACAAUUUAGCAAAUGAGUCCAUUUCAUUUAAGAGCAAUAUACAAUCAAAAUUACCCUGAAAUAGCUUAAAGAGAUAAUAGGCUAGCUUAAAGAGAUAAUAGGCUAGCCAGUGAAGGAAAUCAAAAGAACCAGUCCCAAGGCACUAAGAGGGAAACGAAGUAGAGGAAGAAGAGGGGAUAAGGGUGGUCAAUUUUCGAACAAUCUCAGUAUUUUCAAAUCGUUCACAUUCCAUAAAAGUCUUAAGAGAGUCAAUUUGAGCAAGGAGCUAUAUCUUUUCAGCAACAUGAGCAACCUGAGUAGCAUCCAGUGCAGCUUGAGCUAUUUCCAAUUCGAAAGUCUUAGCAGCAAGAGAAUUAGGUAACCUUUGCUCGGGAUUAUCAACACUCCUCAUGGAAACAGGUAACUCCUUAUGGUUCACAGUCCCAAUAACAUCCUUAGUAGUUUGCAAAGACCACACUUGAACAGGCACGUUAAAGUCCUCAAAAAUAGGAGUGACCCAGAAUUCAUAUGGCAAGGCAUGACCAUUCACAUCUUAGAGUAUUACCCUUUGCAUCUGCUAAAUCAUAAGUCGAGGUAAGUCAAUUCAAACUUCAGAGUCAAGCAGUUCCAUGAGAGUGAGGUCAAGAAAAUUUGCCACAGUCCUUCUUUCUUGGCGCAAAAUAAGCAUCUUAUGGACAACAUCAAAGUAAAGUUGAUGGAGUGGGGUCAUCUCAUGCUUAAGGAUUCUACAAUGAUUUGCAAGAUGAGGAUUUCCACAAAACUUGUGAGUUAUGUCAAGGGAAAAUGCCAUAUUAUCAAGCAGAGGUCAUGUGACCUUGACAUAAUAACCCCAACCUUCAGUAGAAAUGCGCAAAAUGCGAGCAAGGUCAGCAGCAAUAAGAUUUAUAGUGAUUACUCGAAUAAUGGUAGAAAACAUUUCCCCAAGAGCUACCCUAUUUGUAUAAAACUCAUAAACUUUAUCUUUCCCAAACUUACAUUGGUGAUCACCUUGAAGGGCCAACUAUGACCACCCCUAAGCCUCCAAUUUUGAUACCAGAACAGCCAUCCCAGGGCUCUCCAAACCCAGUAAUAAUGCUUCCUCUGUCUAGCUUUCAUUUUUGAAAAUACAUAAUAUGAGCAGAUUGAGAGGCACGAUCAGUAGGAGUUUACUCAUCAAACUCAAAAUCAGGAUCUAACUUAGUAGAGAGAGUAGGCGGGGUAUCAGAAAGUGAUUCAAAUUUAGAUGAGGCAGAAGGAAUAGGUUUCUCGACCUGUUUCUUUGAACGUGAAGAGGCUCUUUUAGCAAUGGACUUAGAAAGGGACUGUAAUACCCUGAAUUUUUUCUAGCUUAAUUUCAUUUCUAGAAUGUUAAGGGAUGGCUUCCAAAAUGAAUAAUAUCUAAUUCAUAUAGAAUUUUCUUGACUUCGACUUUCCAUUGUGUGGGAAAUUGAAUAAGUUUUUCAUCGAUAUCAAAUUCGCCCAAAAUCAACACCUGAUGAAGAAGUUAGAGCAUUUUUAGUAAGCAGUGUUCCAACUGGGCAGUAGCCGCAUUGCGAUGGAGGCCAAAUCUACAUUCAUCAAUUUCCAUUAUCUCAUCAUGAUUCCACCACGUUGUGGUGAGAAUAGCGAUGAGAAGGCCACUGCAUUGCGGUAGAGGCUAAAUCGACGUUUGUCGAAUUUCAGUGGGUCACCGCGAUUGCACCACAUCGUAGUGAACCUCAAAAUAGCAAUUGUCAAUAUCCAGUAAGUCAUCGCAAUUCCACCACGUCACGGUGGGAAUCGCGAUGACAUACUCAUUGCAUCGCGGUGAAGCCUUAAACAGCAUUCCAAUUAAGGAUUUUAAAUUCCAAGGGCAGUUUGGUCUUUUGCCUACUCCCCCAAAUCGUGAAAACAGAUGAUUAAAGGUAUUAUUGAGCAAAAUAUGCUCAUUCUUCAUCAAUUUCUCUCAAGUAAAAACCCUAAGGUUCAAUAUCCAACUUCAAGAAUCUCCAAAAGUUCACCAUUCUUCUUCCAAACUAAUUCAAAUUUCAAGAUUUCCAAGUCAAAACUCCAAGAAUCAAUAUUCAAGGGCACAAAUAGGACCUCAAAACCAAGCUUCUUUAUCUAGCCCAUCGUCUAAGGUAUGUGGGGUUUGAACAAGGAUAAAUCUUUCGUCCUUGUGCCCAAAAACUUAAUUUUUAUUAAAGAUUACAUGAUUUACAAGUUAGGGUUUACACCCAAACCAUCUCGUUUUGAGUUUAUGAAUUUAUAAGUGAUUUAAGUAUUGAAGUACAUGUUGUCUCAUUUAAUUAUGCUUUUACUUGAAGAUUUCUAUUAUGAAUUGCACUUUCCUAUUAUGAAUUGAUAUUGUUGAAUGAAUUUCAAGAUGAUUGUUGGGAAUGAAGCUUUAUUAUGAAAUUCUAAAUAUUUAAGUACAUAUGCUUUAAAAUCCAAGUAUGAUUUUUGACAUUUCAAGAAGAGUAUAUUAUUAGCAUGCUUUGACAAGUAAGUAUUCAGAUUUUAAAGAAAAUUGAUCUUUUGAUCCUAAGCUAAGAUAGGAAUCCACAUUAUUCAUACAGUUUAUGAAUUUAACCAAAGAGAAGCAUAAUUGGUUUUAAUUACAAACCCUUGUGCUAUAUUAAGGUGGAUUUCCUAAAAGUUCUGAGCAAUAAGUAUGGGAGUAGUAUUUAGCACCGAGUUAGGUAUGAUUCCAAGGUCUCAUGCCCUAGAACUAUGUGUCAUCGUAGGCUUCUAUUUUGACCAUAGUGGCCUAAGAUAGUGAUCACUUAAGUUAAGGUUCUAUUUCGAUGGCAAGGGCACAACAGCUUUCCCUAACAUGGGCAAGACGUUGGACUUCAUGCCAGCUCACAUGGUUUAUGUCGGUUAGAAGAAACUCCCUAAGUCCCAAAGUUCCAAGUUUUCAAAGAUCCCAAAGUCUCUAAGUUUCAAAGGAAAAGAAUGAUAGAAAAGCUUUUUAUAAGACUAACUGUAAAGGCUCAUAUAUUUUACUCCGAUAUGCUUUUCGAAAAGAUAAUAGUUAUAGUUUUCAGUUUUUCAAUUUCAAGUUCAAACGUGAGUUCUUUCUACACUUAGACAGCAUGAUUUAAAAAGAAAGUAUAAUUACAACCUUUAGAACUAAAUGUUAUGACUCACUAGAUUUACAAAGCUUGAUUUGUCACGCAUGAUUUCAGAUCUCAGUAUUUUAGACAUUCUAGCUUAUGCGAGUCAUUUACCUUUAGCAUACAUUGUCGUUAUAAAGUAUGAUGAUGUUUUCUUAUGCAUUACACCUCCAUAUACUCAGUACAUCCUCAAAAUGUUGAUCCAUAUAUAUGUCUAUGUCUUACAUUGUCUUAUAAUAUAGGUUUAGGUGCUCAGUAUCAGAAGCAUGAGUAGUUUGAGCAUCUCUAUCUACGCUCCCAUAAUUGGUGAGUCCUUAUGAUUCGAGCGCCUACUUCUUCAUAUUUCCAGCUUUCAUAGUACUUGAUUUAUCAUUUUCAUCUUAGCUCGAGUCAGUUAGGGGUCUGUCCCAACGACUCUCUAGUUCUUUAGUAGUAGAGGCUUGUCGAACUAUUAAUUGAUUUCUAGACUUUCAGUAUUUGUUAUUCAGACAGUGUUUUCAGUUUAUUCCAGCUCAGUUUUGAUAUAAUACAGUAUUAUUGCUUGAUUAGAUUAUCUUAAAGUAAGGUCCAGACCUAGUAGCAGGCUAAAAGGGGUUAACUUAGGGCUAAUCGUAGCCUUGAGCAUCGUGUGACAUCUCAGGAUCAGAUUUUGGGACGUUACAAGGAUGUAGGCUUUGAAGUAGAGGUGGAUUUUGGCUUAGAGGAAGGUGUACGAAAGGUAGAGGACUUUGGAAUUGUGCGUUUCAUCAUCUUUUCUUUACGCACUGAACGAAGAAGUAUAUCUAGAGACAAGGAAGGGGAAGGAAGAGGAGCAGAUGUAGCAACACGUUUUCUCUUACUUACUUGAAGGGCUUCAGCUAAGGAAGCUUCUUCUCGUUGCUUUUUUCCCACAAGUGUGAGGAAUUCUAAAAACAGCUAUAGAGGGGCUAGGCUCAAUAGGAUUUUGAUCUUCAACAACAAUAGGAUAGGGGGAAUGUUUUCUCUUAGAGUGGGAUCUUGAUUUUCUUGGUAUCAAACUUGCAAUUGGAACAUCAUCUGGAUUAAUAAUUUGGAGAGGAAUAGGAGAUAGUGAAAUGGGUGUAGGGAUGGAUUGAGAACUGGAAAAAUUUGAAAAAAGGGGUUUUUAAGAUUUUUUAAAGCAAUAAAAUUGGAUAAUUUUAUUUUAAUGAUGGGUAGAAUUAUAGGAAUACUAUUGGUGGUAGGGGAAGGAUGGUUUUAGUGGAAGGUAAGGUAAUGGAGUCAUGGAGGUUUGAGAAUUCAGAGGAGGAAGAAGAUGCCAUGGUUGAGAGAAACUUAAAGGUUUGAUUUGUAGUUGGUAGAGUUAAUGAAUAAUGAAGGAGAAGAGGGAAAUGUAUUUAAGGAGAAGAGAAAGAAGUUAAAACAUGGGUGGACUAUAUUUAGUGAAGAAACGUAAUGAGAGAGGUGCUUAGUGAUGAUGGGAAAGCGGUGGAAGUUUUUUAAAAAAGGACUUUUGGGUUUUGGGCAGUUUAUGGAGGAACCAUGUAGUAAACCUGUUUCUCUUUAUGCAAUUUUAGAUAAAAUAUAAUUGUACCUCAACCUUGUGGACAAGAUGGACAAAAUUGCUUGAGUGUUCCAGCAUCUCUGCAAAACCAAUACAUGAAUGAGUCAAUUUACUCUAAAAUCUUGGAAUUAGGACACACAACUAAAUGUGUAAUACUGGAUUUAUCAACAAACACUUAGGAGCACAUUGUCUUAUCUAGUCAAUCAUUGGGGGAGAUUUAUGCAAUUUUAAUCAUCCCCAAGGCUAACCUAUUCUUUUCAAAAUAUUCUCUGCCUAAUACCUUAGUGAAAAUAUCUGCAAUUUGAUCUUCAGUAGAACAAAACAUGAUUAAUAUAAAACCUUUUUCAAUAUUAUCUCUAAUAAAGUGAUGUCGAAUAUCAAUAUGUAUAGUUCUUUUAUAUUGGACAGGAUUCUUGGAAAUAUUAAUAGCACUUGUAUUGUCAUAAUAAAUGGGAACACAACCUACAUCCAUCCCAAAGUCCAUAAGUUAUUGUUUAAUCCACAAUAACUAAGCAUAACACGACCCAACAGCAACAUACUCAGCCUCAGCAGUAGAUAAAGCUAAUGAGUUUUGCUUCUUCAUGGACCAGGUAAUUAAACAUGAUCCAAGAAAGUAUGCCAUCCCAGUGGUACUCUUCCUGUCCACCAAAUAUCCUGUAUAGUCAGCAUCAGAAUAACCUACCAAGUUAAAAUUACUACCUUUGGGAUACCGUAGGCCAAGAUCAGUUAUUUCUUUGAGAUAUCGAAAGAUCCUCUUCACAGAUUUCAGAUGAGAUUCUUUAGGAUUUGCCUGGAAUCUUUCACACAACCCCACACUAAAUACAGUAUCAAGUCUACUUGUUGUGAGAUAAAUCAAGGAUUCUAUCAUUCCUCUAUACAAUUUUUGCUCCACAUCAGGACCUGUUUCAUCCGUGUCUAGUUUGGUGGCAGUAUCUAUUGGUGUAUUGAUCUAUUUAGCUUCUUCCAUGAAAAACCUUUUAAGAAGUUCCUUGACAUACUUUUGCUGAUGUAUCAUGGUUCCAGAGGUUGUUUGCUUUGUUUACAAUCCCAAAAAAAAUUAGCUCCCCCAUCAUACUCAUCUCAAACUCACAACUCAUGAGUUUUGCAAAGUUAUGGGUAAUAUUCAUGUUUGUGGAGCCAAAGAUGAUAUCAUCUACAUACACCUACAGUACUAACAAAUCUUUUUCAUUAGUUUUCAAGAAAAGACUGUUAUCAAUCUUACCUCUAGUAUGACCAUGCUCCAAAAAGAAUUUUGAUAAUCUUUCAUACCAAGCUUUGGGAGCUUGUUUUAGACCAUACAGGGCCUUGUCAAGCUUAUACACAUAAUCAGAAAACUCCUUACUCUCAAAUCCUGGUGGUUAUUUGACAUACACCUCCUCUUUGAGAAUAGCAUUCAAGAAUACACUCUUAAUAUCCAUUUGAUAGAGAAUGAAUACCAUAUAAGUAGCAAAAGCUACAAGUAGCCUAAUUACUUCAAUUCUAGCCACAGGAGCAAUAGUCUCAUCAAAAUCUAUGCCUUCUUAUUGAUUGUAUCAUUGGACCACCAAUCUUGCCUUAUUUCUUAUAAUUGUUCUAUGCUCAUCAAACUUAUUUCUAUACACCCACUUAGUCCCAAUUACUGUUCUACCUUUUGGGAGAGGAACUAAAUGUCAUACUUUACUUCUCUCUAGCUGUUUUAACUCCUCUUGCAUGGCUAUGAUUCAAUCAGCAUCAAGAAGUGCCUCAUUCACUUUCUUUAGUUUAAUUUAUGACAGAAAUGCUUUAAAAGCGCACAUGCUUCUCAACCCUGACCUUGUGGUGAUCCCAGAAGUGAGAUCAGUGAGCACAUUUUCAAUAGGAUAAAAUCCUUGAUACUUAUAUUCUUUUGGAACCAAUCCUUGUGAAGUACUAAAAUUACUGUGAUUAUUCUGUGUUGGGGUGGUUGGUGGUUCAGUUCCCCCUGUCAAUAUACCUUCAAAAUCAAUUCCCCUUACCAAGGUGCCUCCAUGUUUGUCACCAUCAGCUGAUGGACCAUGUUAAGCAACGUGUUCCUCAGAACCACUUCCUUCCUGUAUGUUAGUCUUAGCGUAAGAUCCAUCAAAUACUAUAUGCACACUUUCUUCAACACAAUUAGUUCUGUUGUUUAACACCCUAUAUGUCUUGAUAUGAUGUGAAUAUCCUAAGAAUAUUCCCUCAUCACUCUUAGCAUUAAAUUUUCCCAACUGAUUUUUCCCAUUAUUAUGAAUGAAGCAUUUACAACCAAAUGCUCUAAAAUAAGAGAUAUUGGGUUUUAUUUCUUUUAAUAAUUCAUAGGGAGUCUUUUCUAGAAUAGGUCUGAUCAUGCAUCUAUUCAUGAUAUAUGCAGUAGUACUAAUUGCCUCAGCCCAAAGAUUUUUAGCAAGAUUUCCUGCAAGCAUCAUUGUUCUAGCCAUAUCUUUCAAGGUCUUAUUUUUUCUUUCUACUACUCCAUUUUGUUGAGAUGUUUUGGGAGUAGAGAAGUUGUGAUCUAUACUAUUUGAUGCACAGAAUUCUAAAAACUUGACAUUUUUAAAUUUUGUACCAUGGUCAGACCUCAUGAAAAUUAGAGAAGUACCCAGUUUCUUUUUAAUUUUCUUGAUGAAUAUAGUAAAGACAUCAAAGGCAUCUUCUUUGAAAGCUAGAAACAAUGUGCAGGUAAAUCUGGAAUAAUCAUCAACAAUUACAAAACAUACCUUUUUACACCUCUGCUUUGAAGUCUCAUUGGUCCACACAGAUCCAUGUGGAUCAGGUUAAGGUACUUGGUUGUGCUAACAUGGUUCUUUGAUUUAAAAGAAGAUUUUACCUGCUUCCCCCUUACACAUGCACUACAUACCUUUUCUUCCUUAAACUUGGUUUUGGGCAAACCCAAUACCAUAUCUUUGGAAGAGAGUAUAUUCAAUUGUUUGAGACUUGUAUGUCCAAGUAUCUUGUGCCAAAGGAGGGGAUCUUUCUCUAUAGCACUUAGGCAGGUGAGCUCUGUUCCUGGCAUUGCUAUUGUGUCAGCUUUGUACACAUUCCGGUAUCUUUUUAUAGUGAGCACAAUCUCCUUGGUGUCUAUCCUCUUGACUUUUACUCCUGCAGAAGUAAAAAUAACUUUGCUACCUUUAUCACACAAUUGUGAUAUGCUAAUGAGGUUGUGCUUCAAUUCUUUUACAAGGUAGACAUCAUUCAAUGCUCUUGAUUCAUAUGUGUCAAUCUUUCCAACUCUAAUAAUUAUUUCCUUUUUGACAUCGCCAAAAGAAACUCCUCCUCUAUUUAUUUUGGAGAGUGAAAGGAACUUUUUCUUAUCACCAAUCAUGUGUCUUGAGCAAGCACUAUUCAGGUACCAAUGCUUUUUUUUCCUGUCACCUUCUCCUUCAAGAAAUCAAAGGUUAAAUUUAGGAACCCAUACAAGCUUGGGUCCUGUUUUAUGAGUAAAGGGAUGAAUUAAGUUUCUUUUAGUCCAUGCAGGCAACAGGUAACGUGACCUGUUUCUCUGACCAGUCUUAGUUUCCUUUUUCUUGGUUUGAAAGAAUUUAUUUACCAAAUUUAGACUACUAGAUCUACUUUUGGUAGAAACAGGACACUCAGUGGUUAGAUGUCCAAGAUUACCACAUAUAUAACACAAGUCUUGAGGAUCAGCAAGACUUCUGUGAAAACCUAGUCCUAUUUUUUCACUGUAACUUCUUUCACUCAACUUAUGAACAAUUCUUGAAGAAUUUUUCCACCUGUUUGCUCUUUUAAGAUAAAGUUUCAGUUUAGAGACUUCUUGACUUAGUUUAUUCACCAUGUCUGUUGCAUUAUUACACUCCUGUUUGUACUUGACUAAUUCAAGUUCAACAUUUUCUUGUUCUUUACUCUUGACCCUUUUUCCAUUGUCAGUGAGUGUUAAUUUUAAUUCUUCAGACUUAAGAUCAUUGUUGGAAGAAUCAAGUUCUACAACCUGUUUCUUGAGAGUGCAGUUUUCUUCGUCAACGGUGUUCUUGUAAACUUUUAAAUCAAUGAGAUCAAAUUUGAGACUUGCAAGACUGUUGAACAACUCAUCCCUAUCAGAAGUUAAUUCUUGGAAAUCAUCAAUCAGUGCACUCAUCAAGAAAACAAGUUUUGUUUUAGAAAACAAAUCCAAUUUUUCUUUAAGUUCAAGAAUACUUACCUCUGAAGCAUCAUCGUCUUCCUCCAAGUCUGAAUCGCUAAUAGCCAUGAAUUUUGUUUCAUCAACUUCAUCAUCAUCUGAAUCAGAUCACCAAGCUGCUACCAUAUAAUAUUCUUCCUUUUCCUUCUCCUUUUGUUUUUUUUCUUUUAAUUCUUUUUUAGCCCUUUCUUUUCUCCAUUCUAUUUCCCAGACGGGACAAUCCCUAAUCUGAUGAUCAUUCUUACCAGACUUAUAGCAUCCAUUUGGAUUGUCAAUGGAACAUUUCUUGCUACCUAUUCCCUUUUUCUUUUUAAAGAAUUUGCUGAAGUUUUUUGUUAUGAAGGUAACUUGUUUCUUGUCAAGUUUGAUUUCUUCAUCACUGUCUGAAGCCUUCAAGGCCAAGAUUUUCUCAAGGUCUACUUGUUCUUUAGUUCCAUCAAUUUUCAUUUCAUAAGUCCUCAGAUUCCCUACCAGUUCAUCCAGAUUCAUACGUGUGAGAUCCUUUGCCUCCCUAAUAGCGUUGAAAGCAUAUCUGAAUUUUUUUGCUUAUCCACUCCUGACUUUACGCAUUAUCGGCCUUGCAUCUACUUCAAUGUUUCUCACAUGUGAUGACCAGCAUGACUAACAUGUUUCAUUAACAUAUGUCAAUCAUCAAAACUUAUUUGCUCUAACAAAUACCACGUAAUACACUACAAGAGUUAAAUUUUACUCUAAAUUAUUUUCUUAAAAGAGAACAACCGAAUGCAAAUACGUAUCAUAAGGUCUAGACAAAAAUAGUACCUUCGGCAGGUCCAAGUGGGAUUUAGAAUGCCACAUGUUCCAUGAUGAUGAGUUUUAAUUCUGAACUAUAUUAUUCAUAACAUAUUUGUGAUCAUACUAAUGUAAGUUAUGACCCCACGUAUAUUGUGUUUUGUGACUCUAUAACUAUAAGUAGUCUCUCAAUUCUUGUGAAAUACUUUUUCAAAAUAGGGUUGCUACACCAUCAAUGUCAAAUAGCAGAACUGUAGAUUGGUCAAUAUUUUUUUCUAAAUAUCCAAAUGUUUGUGAUGAUGACAACUCAAAUCACAAUAGUUAUUCUAGUGGUUUCUCACCCGAUGAUAGUGAGUUUGAGUUAGAUGAAUAUAUGUCUCACCUUUUAAUAGAGCGUAAUGACGAUUUAUUGUAAGAUGAAAUUUUUAGAUCCACAUCAAUAUUACUGAGGUUUAUGUCGUGAAUAGACAUAUUGAUACGUUGAAUCACAACGUCUCAUUUGUGACUUAAAAAUCUCAGAGUACCAAUCCCCACAAGAUUUUAUAUGACCAUGCCCCGUACUAAUCAAGUCUUACUAGUUAGUGGUCAAUAAAAUUCGAAUACUAGCAAGAUUUUGUAGGUUUUACAUGCCCAAAUUAGCCCAGGAACAAGCAUCAUGAACGGAUAGGAAAUGGUAGAUCAAAAAGACAAGACAGGAUUAAUAAAUAGGCGGGUUACUGUAUUUUGACUGAAAUUGUUUGGGCUUAAAUGACUAAAAGCGUAUCAUAACUUAACCAACAACAAAGUUUUUUUUUAUUCUCUUUCUUAAGUACUUAUUACCUAAUAUUUAACUCUUUCUCUUUAUUAUGAUCAUACUAUAUAUAACACUAGUGAGUUUUACCACGUCAAUUUGUGAAAAUAUAUCAAUGAGAUUAUGUUAUAGCUUUUUAGUUAAAACUAAUUUGAGAGAUAGAAUAAUAAGAUGAAUCAUGAGAGUUAUUCAUAUCAGCUAAAAACUUAGGGGCUUUGAGAUAAGUUUGAUAACGAUAAGGGUAUAAAUUAGACCUGUCAAAUGGGCCGGUUGGCCCAUUCCAGCCCGUUUAACUUGGCCCAACUGAUGGACCCAGCCCGGUUAGUCUAUGGGCUGUAGGGCUGCCGAUCUCGGUCCUAGGCUGGCCAAAUGGGUUGACCUAAUGGAUCGGCCCGAUUAGAAAAUCGAACCUGGCCCAUCGGUUAACCAGACCGGACCAGCCCUGUUGGAAUUAAAAAAAUUAUUUUAUUUUAUAUGUGACUAGCCGUUGAGUAUUUGGCCCAAAUGGACCGUUGGAGGCCCAACGGCUAUAAUGUCGUUGGCUUCAACGGCCAUUUGGCCAAUUAACUUAUUAUUUAAAAAAAAAUUAAUUCCAAAAUUUAGUAUAAAUACCCCUAACUCAAAAUUUAUUUUUCACCCAAUUCUCAUUCUCCCAAAUCUCAAUCUUUCUCAAAUCUUCUAAUUAUCUCCUAAAGUGCUCAAUUAUAUUUUUUAAUUAUGCAAUUACAAAUACAAGGGGAAGUUUCUAAAGUCGCAACUUUUGAAUACUUCCAAAAUUUGGUACUGUCGUUCCAUUUCUUACCUUUAAUUUUUAAUUAGUGUAUUAAUUGUUGAAUAUUUAUUUUUAUUAUUUAUAUGUAUUUGAAAUAUUUUUAAUUUAUUUUUUAAUAUGAAUAAAUUAAAAAACAUCGGUAAAAGUGUCAAAAAAUUUUAUCCCGAAAGUGAUAGUGGUAGUAAAAAAUUAAUUGGUGGCGAUUCCAGUAGAGAUAGUUCAAGUAAUAGAUAUACCUGUGUGCCUCCGGUACCGGUUAGUCAACCCUUUGAGGAAGAAAUAGGUGCAGGUGCUCACGAUAUGGAUUAUGCAGAAGCUCAAAAAAAUUAUGGUAUAGAGGAAGAAAAUGAAGCAGAUGCGGUUAAUUUAAAUGAGGAUGAUGAUAAUAUUGGUGAGACACCCGCAUUAGAAAAUGCUAAUGUUAGAUCUGAAUCGGUUAAUCAUCCUCCAAGUCCUCCCUGUUCCCCAAGAGCUCGUAGAAAAAUUAGUAUUGCAUGAAAAAAAUUUCGAAAAUAGAAGGAGAAAGUAAGGUGCAAUGCAAUAGUUGUGAAAUUAUAUAUGAGCAUAAAACUGGAGGCAAUAAAGGGGGUACGAGUUCAUUGAUAAGACAUUUAAGAGAUAGACACUCUAGAGAGUUAUUUAUUGCACAAGGUGGUGAGGCUGUCGGUGGACCAACACAAACUAGAUUGAACGCAACAACCAGUCAAUUAACUAAAAAUAUAAUAAAAUGAAGGACCGGGAAGAAAUAGCGAAAAUAAUAGUCGUGGGUUGUUUGCCUUUCACUUUUGCUUCUUCUGAUGCUUUUAUUCAUUAUAUUCAAGCAAUUUAUAAUCCUAUGUUUAAUGGUAUUCCUAGAAGUACUUGUCGGGCCGAUAUUUUUAGACUCCAUGCACAAUAUGUUUAUUAUUUAUCUACAUUAUUAAAAUAUAUUCAAUGUAGAAUUGCUCUAACUUCUGAUCUUGGUCAUGCCGUUAAUAAAAAUGAUUAUUUAACCAUUACUUGUCACUGGAUAGAUAGUAAUUUUGUUAUGCAAAACCGUAUUCUACCUUUUUUGUAUGAUGAAGAUCGUAGACAUACUGAAAAAUUUAUUUUUGAAUCUAUUACUAAAAUCGCAGAAUAUUAUGGUAUUGAAAAAAAAUUAUGUAUUGCUUUUGAUAAUGCAUCUAACAACAAGGUUGCUAUUGAGAAGUUAAAAGUUGAUCUUUCUCUGCCGUUACCUGAAAUAUUUUAUUUAAGUGUGUUUAUCAUAUAUAUAACUUAAUUGUAAAAGAUGGUCUUGAAUUUUUUGAGCUUUAUAUUGAAAAGGUCCGACUUGUUGUUGGCUUUAUGAAUUUUGAUAAUCUUUCAUACCAAGCUUUGGGAGCUUGUUUUAGACCAUACAGGGCCUUGUCAAGCUUAUACACAUAAUCAGAAAACUCCUUACUCUCAAAUCCUGGUGGUUAUUUGACAUACACCUCCUCUUUGAGAAUAGCAUUCAAGAAUACACUCUUAAUAUCCAUUUGAUAGAGAAUGAAUACCAUAUAAGUAGCAAAAGCUACAAGUAGCCUAAUUACUUCAAUUCUAGCCACAGGAGCAAUAGUCUCAUCAAAAUCUAUGCCUUCUUAUUGAUUGUAUCAUUGGACCACCAAUCUUGCCUUAUUUCUUAUAAUUGUUCUAUGCUCAUCAAACUUAUUUCUAUACACCCACUUAGUCCCAAUUACUGUUCUACCUUUUGGGAGAGGAACUAAAUGUCAUACUUUACUUCUCUCUAGCUGUUUUAACUCCUCUUGCAUGGCUAUGAUUCAAUCAGCAUCAAGAAGUGCCUCAUUCACUUUCUUUAGUUUAAUUUAUGACAGAAAUGCUUUAAAAGCGCACAUGCUUCUCAACCCUGACCUUGUGGUGAUCCCAGAAGUGAGAUCAGUGAGCACAUUUUCAAUAGGAUAAAAUCCUUGAUACUUAUAUUCUUUUGGAACCAAUCCUUGUGAAGUACUAAAAUUACUGUGAUUAUUCUGUGUUGGGGUGGUUGGUGGUUCAGUUCCCCCUGUCAAUAUACCUUCAAAAUCAAUUCCCCUUACCAAGGUGCCUCCAUGUUUGUCACCAUCAGCUGAUGGACCAUGUUAAGCAACGUGUUCCUCAGAACCACUUCCUUCCUGUAUGUUAGUCUUAGCGUAAGAUCCAUCAAAUACUAUAUGCACACUUUCUUCAACACAAUUAGUUCUGUUGUUUAACACCCUAUAUGUCUUGAUAUGAUGUGAAUAUCCUAAGAAUAUUCCCUCAUCACUCUUAGCAUUAAAUUUUCCCAACUGAUUUUUCCCAUUAUUAUGAAUGAAGCAUUUACAACCAAAUGCUCUAAAAUAAGAGAUAUUGGGUUUUAUUUCUUUUAAUAAUUCAUAGGGAGUCUUUUCUAGAAUAGGUCUGAUCAUGCAUCUAUUCAUGAUAUAUGCAGUAGUACUAAUUGCCUCAGCCCAAAGAUUUUUAGCAAGAUUUCCUGCAAGCAUCAUUGUUCUAGCCAUAUCUUUCAAGGUCUUAUUUUUUCUUUCUACUACUCCAUUUUGUUGAGAUGUUUUGGGAGUAGAGAAGUUGUGAUCUAUACUAUUUGAUGCACAGAAUUCUAAAAACUUGACAUUUUUAAAUUUUGUACCAUGGUCAGACCUCAUGAAAAUUAGAGAAGUACCCAGUUUCUUUUUAAUUUUCUUGAUGAAUAUAGUAAAGACAUCAAAGGCAUCUUCUUUGAAAGCUAGAAACAAUGUGCAGGUAAAUCUGGAAUAAUCAUCAACAAUUACAAAACAUACCUUUUUACACCUCUGCUUUGAAGUCUCAUUGGUCCACACAGAUCCAUGUGGAUCAGGUUAAGGUACUUGGUUGUGCUAACAUGGUUCUUUGAUUUAAAAGAAGAUUUUACCUGCUUCCCCCUUACACAUGCACUACAUACCUUUUCUUCCUUAAACUUGGUUUUGGGCAAACCCAAUACCAUAUCUUUGGAAGAGAGUAUAUUCAAUUGUUUGAGACUUGUAUGUCCAAGUAUCUUGUGCCAAAGGAGGGGAUCUUUCUCUAUAGCACUUAGGCAGGUGAGCUCUGUUCCUGGCAUUGCUAUUGUGUCAGCUUUGUACACAUUCCGGUAUCUUUUUAUAGUGAGCACAAUCUCCUUGGUGUCUAUCCUCUUGACUUUUACUCCUGCAGAAGUAAAAAUAACUUUGCUACCUUUAUCACACAAUUGUGAUAUGCUAAUGAGGUUGUGCUUCAAUUCUUUUACAAGGUAGACAUCAUUCAAUGCUCUUGAUUCAUAUGUGUCAAUCUUUCCAACUCUAAUAAUUAUUUCCUUUUUGACAUCGCCAAAAGAAACUCCUCCUCUAUUUAUUUUGGAGAGUGAAAGGAACUUUUUCUUAUCACCAAUCAUGUGUCUUGAGCAAGCACUAUUCAGGUACCAAUGCUUUUUUUUCCUGUCACCUUCUCCUUCAAGAAAUCAAAGGUUAAAUUUAGGAACCCAUACAAGCUUGGGUCCUGUUUUAUGAGUAAAGGGAUGAAUUAAGUUUCUUUUAGUCCAUGCAGGCAACAGGUAACGUGACCUGUUUCUCUGACCAGUCUUAGUUUCCUUUUUCUUGGUUUGAAAGAAUUUAUUUACCAAAUUUAGACUACUAGAUCUACUUUUGGUAGAAACAGGACACUCAGUGGUUAGAUGUCCAAGAUUACCACAUAUAUAACACAAGUCUUGAGGAUCAGCAAGACUUCUGUGAAAACCUAGUCCUAUUUUUUCACUGUAACUUCUUUCACUCAACUUAUGAACAAUUCUUGAAGAAUUUUUCCACCUGUUUGCUCUUUUAAGAUAAAGUUUCAGUUUAGAGACUUCUUGACUUAGUUUAUUCACCAUGUCUGUUGCAUUAUUACACUCCUGUUUGUACUUGACUAAUUCAAGUUCAACAUUUUCUUGUUCUUUACUCUUGACCCUUUUUCCAUUGUCAGUGAGUGUUAAUUUUAAUUCUUCAGACUUAAGAUCAUUGUUGGAAGAAUCAAGUUCUACAACCUGUUUCUUGAGAGUGCAGUUUUCUUCGUCAACGGUGUUCUUGUAAACUUUUAAAUCAAUGAGAUCAAAUUUGAGACUUGCAAGACUGUUGAACAACUCAUCCCUAUCAGAAGUUAAUUCUUGGAAAUCAUCAAUCAGUGCACUCAUCAAGAAAACAAGUUUUGUUUUAGAAAACAAAUCCAAUUUUUCUUUAAGUUCAAGAAUACUUACCUCUGAAGCAUCAUCGUCUUCCUCCAAGUCUGAAUCGCUAAUAGCCAUGAAUUUUGUUUCAUCAACUUCAUCAUCAUCUGAAUCAGAUCACCAAGCUGCUACCAUAUAAUAUUCUUCCUUUUCCUUCUCCUUUUGUUUUUUUUCUUUUAAUUCUUUUUUAGCCCUUUCUUUUCUCCAUUCUAUUUCCCAGACGGGACAAUCCCUAAUCUGAUGAUCAUUCUUACCAGACUUAUAGCAUCCAUUUGGAUUGUCAAUGGAACAUUUCUUGCUACCUAUUCCCUUUUUCUUUUUAAAGAAUUUGCUGAAGUUUUUUGUUAUGAAGGUAACUUGUUUCUUGUCAAGUUUGAUUUCUUCAUCACUGUCUGAAGCCUUCAAGGCCAAGAUUUUCUCAAGGUCUACUUGUUCUUUAGUUCCAUCAAUUUUCAUUUCAUAAGUCCUCAGAUUCCCUACCAGUUCAUCCAGAUUCAUACGUGUGAGAUCCUUUGCCUCCCUAAUAGCGUUGAAAGCAUAUCUGAAUUUUUUUGCUUAUCCACUCCUGACUUUACGCAUUAUCGGCCUUGCAUCUACUUCAAUGUUUCUCACAUGUGAUGACCAGCAUGACUAACAUGUUUCAUUAACAUAUGUCAAUCAUCAAAACUUAUUUGCUCUAACAAAUACCACGUAAUACACUACAAGAGUUAAAUUUUACUCUAAAUUAUUUUCUUAAAAGAGAACAACCGAAUGCAAAUACGUAUCAUAAGGUCUAGACAAAAAUAGUACCUUCGGCAGGUCCAAGUGGGAUUUAGAAUGCCACAUGUUCCAUGAUGAUGAGUUUUAAUUCUGAACUAUAUUAUUCAUAACAUAUUUGUGAUCAUACUAAUGUAAGUUAUGACCCCACGUAUAUUGUGUUUUGUGACUCUAUAACUAUAAGUAGUCUCUCAAUUCUUGUGAAAUACUUUUUCAAAAUAGGGUUGCUACACCAUCAAUGUCAAAUAGCAGAACUGUAGAUUGGUCAAUAUUUUUUUCUAAAUAUCCAAAUGUUUGUGAUGAUGACAACUCAAAUCACAAUAGUUAUUCUAGUGGUUUCUCACCCGAUGAUAGUGAGUUUGAGUUAGAUGAAUAUAUGUCUCACCUUUUAAUAGAGCGUAAUGACGAUUUAUUGUAAGAUGAAAUUUUUAGAUCCACAUCAAUAUUACUGAGGUUUAUGUCGUGAAUAGACAUAUUGAUACGUUGAAUCACAACGUCUCAUUUGUGACUUAAAAAUCUCAGAGUACCAAUCCCCACAAGAUUUUAUAUGACCAUGCCCCGUACUAAUCAAGUCUUACUAGUUAGUGGUCAAUAAAAUUCGAAUACUAGCAAGAUUUUGUAGGUUUUACAUGCCCAAAUUAGCCCAGGAACAAGCAUCAUGAACGGAUAGGAAAUGGUAGAUCAAAAAGACAAGACAGGAUUAAUAAAUAGGCGGGUUACUGUAUUUUGACUGAAAUUGUUUGGGCUUAAAUGACUAAAAGCGUAUCAUAACUUAACCAACAACAAAGUUUUUUUUUAUUCUCUUUCUUAAGUACUUAUUACCUAAUAUUUAACUCUUUCUCUUUAUUAUGAUCAUACUAUAUAUAACACUAGUGAGUUUUACCACGUCAAUUUGUGAAAAUAUAUCAAUGAGAUUAUGUUAUAGCUUUUUAGUUAAAACUAAUUUGAGAGAUAGAAUAAUAAGAUGAAUCAUGAGAGUUAUUCAUAUCAGCUAAAAACUUAGGGGCUUUGAGAUAAGUUUGAUAACGAUAAGGGUAUAAAUUAGACCUGUCAAAUGGGCCGGUUGGCCCAUUCCAGCCCGUUUAACUUGGCCCAACUGAUGGACCCAGCCCGGUUAGUCUAUGGGCUGUAGGGCUGCCGAUCUCGGUCCUAGGCUGGCCAAAUGGGUUGACCUAAUGGAUCGGCCCGAUUAGAAAAUCGAACCUGGCCCAUCGGUUAACCAGACCGGACCAGCCCUGUUGGAAUUAAAAAAAUUAUUUUAUUUUAUAUGUGACUAGCCGUUGAGUAUUUGGCCCAAAUGGACCGUUGGAGGCCCAACGGCUAUAAUGUCGUUGGCUUCAACGGCCAUUUGGCCAAUUAACUUAUUAUUUAAAAAAAAAUUAAUUCCAAAAUUUAGUAUAAAUACCCCUAACUCAAAAUUUAUUUUUCACCCAAUUCUCAUUCUCCCAAAUCUCAAUCUUUCUCAAAUCUUCUAAUUAUCUCCUAAAGUGCUCAAUUAUAUUUUUUAAUUAUGCAAUUACAAAUACAAGGGGAAGUUUCUAAAGUCGCAACUUUUGAAUACUUCCAAAAUUUGGUACUGUCGUUCCAUUUCUUACCUUUAAUUUUUAAUUAGUGUAUUAAUUGUUGAAUAUUUAUUUUUAUUAUUUAUAUGUAUUUGAAAUAUUUUUAAUUUAUUUUUUAAUAUGAAUAAAUUAAAAAACAUCGGUAAAAGUGUCAAAAAAUUUUAUCCCGAAAGUGAUAGUGGUAGUAAAAAAUUAAUUGGUGGCGAUUCCAGUAGAGAUAGUUCAAGUAAUAGAUAUACCUGUGUGCCUCCGGUACCGGUUAGUCAACCCUUUGAGGAAGAAAUAGGUGCAGGUGCUCACGAUAUGGAUUAUGCAGAAGCUCAAAAAAAUUAUGGUAUAGAGGAAGAAAAUGAAGCAGAUGCGGUUAAUUUAAAUGAGGAUGAUGAUAAUAUUGGUGAGACACCCGCAUUAGAAAAUGCUAAUGUUAGAUCUGAAUCGGUUAAUCAUCCUCCAAGUCCUCCCUGUUCCCCAAGAGCUCGUAGAAAAAUUAGUAUUGCAUGAAAAAAAUUUCGAAAAUAGAAGGAGAAAGUAAGGUGCAAUGCAAUAGUUGUGAAAUUAUAUAUGAGCAUAAAACUGGAGGCAAUAAAGGGGGUACGAGUUCAUUGAUAAGACAUUUAAGAGAUAGACACUCUAGAGAGUUAUUUAUUGCACAAGGUGGUGAGGCUGUCGGUGGACCAACACAAACUAGAUUGAACGCAACAACCAGUCAAUUAACUAAAAAUAUAAUAAAAUGAAGGACCGGGAAGAAAUAGCGAAAAUAAUAGUCGUGGGUUGUUUGCCUUUCACUUUUGCUUCUUCUGAUGCUUUUAUUCAUUAUAUUCAAGCAAUUUAUAAUCCUAUGUUUAAUGGUAUUCCUAGAAGUACUUGUCGGGCCGAUAUUUUUAGACUCCAUGCACAAUAUGUUUAUUAUUUAUCUACAUUAUUAAAAUAUAUUCAAUGUAGAAUUGCUCUAACUUCUGAUCUUGGUCAUGCCGUUAAUAAAAAUGAUUAUUUAACCAUUACUUGUCACUGGAUAGAUAGUAAUUUUGUUAUGCAAAACCGUAUUCUACCUUUUUUGUAUGAUGAAGAUCGUAGACAUACUGAAAAAUUUAUUUUUGAAUCUAUUACUAAAAUCGCAGAAUAUUAUGGUAUUGAAAAAAAAUUAUGUAUUGCUUUUGAUAAUGCAUCUAACAACAAGGUUGCUAUUGAGAAGUUAAAAGUUGAUCUUUCUCUGCCGUUACCUGAAAUAUUUUAUUUAAGUGUGUUUAUCAUAUAUAUAACUUAAUUGUAAAAGAUGGUCUUGAAUUUUUUGAGCUUUAUAUUGAAAAGGUCCGACUUGUUGUUGGCUUUAUUCAUGAAAAUAAUCGAAGAGGUAGAGUGAGAGAAUUUAAAGUUAAAUGUGAACAAAAUAGACUUAGACCGAUAUUCAUGCCUGAAGAAUGUGAUAUUAGAUGAAAUUCUACUUAUAAUUAUUUAAAAACUUGUUUUGCUUAUAAAGUUCCUAUUACUAUGACUUUUAAUCAAUUUAUGGUUCUUUUUCUGAGUGUAUGAUACAUGAUUCUGAUUGGACUGCAAUUGAUGAUCUUGUUAAGUUUUUCGAAAGAUUUUAUAUAGCUACAGUUGAAUUUUUUGGUACUUAUUAUCCUACUGUUUGUAAUAUUUUAGCUUAUUUAACCGACAUUUCUUGUUUGCUUAAAAAAUAUAAGGAUAGAGAAGGUUGCAAAGAAGUUGUUGGUGCUAUAUUGACUAAAUUUAAGAAGUAUUUUUUUCGCUUUUCCUAAUUUACUUGGUUGGUGCUAUACUAAAUCCAUACAUGAAAUAUAAUACUAUGUGCGACUUUAGUACUGUUAUUUAUAAUUCCUUAGAGAUAGAGCCUCAUGAAAAAUCAGAUUUGUUUAAGGCUAUGAAUGAUGCAAACAUUUACGUAGAAGCAUUAUAUAAUCAUUAUGCCGAAUUAAUUGAUGUAGCUGUACCGACAAAUAUCACUCCAACUGUUUCUCCUCAAGCUCCCGAUGAGCCAUCAUCUUCUAAAAGGUCGGCAUAUAGUGAUUUUUUUUAUUUCUUUUAUGAUUUAAAUAUUUAGGACAGGAUUUUUCCGUCAACAACAUACACAAUAAAUUAUCAGGAAGAGCUUAGGUAUUAUCUUUGACAGCCGACAGAGGAUCAUAGAUCAAGGAUCAACUCAUUGGAUUGGUGGAAGAAUAAUGAAAGACAAUAACAUGUGCUUUCAAGAUUAGCUAGAGAUAUAUUGAAUGUUCCAAUGUCAACUGUUGCAUCAGAGAGCGCUUUUAGUCAGGGACGACAACAACUUGGAGACAACCGACACUCAUUGGGAAGAAAUGCUAUGAAUAUUCUAGUUUAAAUUAGAGAUUGGAUUGGAGCGGAACGAACAAAUCAAGGAAUGGAGGUGGAGCCAAAAAACGGACAGAAUAUUGAAGAGAUUCUAACUUCAAGGGAGAACUCAGCAUAAUCAAGUCCAAUGCAUGAUUUUGUCCCCAUUGAUUUUGAUUAUCCUAUGGAAGUUCCCGUUAAUAUUAACAUGAACGAGUUGAAAAAAAUGAUGCGAAAUUUGUAAUUUUUCAUUCAUGUCAAUUAUAAGUUUUGGAUCAUUUUUCAAUUAAUAAAAUACAACAAUCAUUCACUCCUUACUUUAUAAUUUUUUUCCAUCUAAAUUGAAUUUCUUGUUUGAAUUAAAUACUUUUAAUAUAUUACUACCAAAGUAUCAAACUUUACACUAAGUAAUAAACAUAACAAACAUAUAUACAAAUAUAUUCUACAUAUAUACACAAGUGGUACUUAAAAUAGUGUGUGUGUGCGUAUGUAUAUAUAUAUACAUGUUGUAUUACUAUUAAACUUUACACUAAGUAAUAAAUAUAACAAACAUAUAUCAUGAAAAAUUAAAUAUCUUGUAAGUUAAAAUACAAUGAAAACAUAUAAUGAAUAUAUGUUCAAAACUUCAACUAUUAUGAUAUUAAGAAGCAUACAUUGUGGGUGUGUUUGGUAUUAGGAAAAAUAUUUUCUGAAAAAUGUUUUUUUAUUUUCCCUUGUUUGGUUGUACUAAAACAUUGGGAAAAUAUUUUUCAAAAUGACUUAUUUUCCUCUAUUUGAGGGAAAAUGACUUCCCUCAUGGGCCAAGGGAAGUCAUUUUUUAGAAAAUGGCAGAUGUGACUUUUUUGCCCCCACCCCAACAACACUCAAAUUCACAUUACUCAAAAAAUUUACAUUACUCAGAAACAUUUUCACUGUGUUUUGCUUCAAUUUUUCACUGCUUGAAAUAGAAAAUAUUGAAGUUCGAAUUUUUCCAUGUUUCCAAUGUUCGUUGAAUGUAUUGUUAUUUCUAUGUGCAUAGAGGAAGACUUACCUAUGUUACUUUUGCUAAUUGCAUAUUCCAUUUUGUCAUCGUUGUAGCUUGUUUUACAAGGUUGAAUAAGCUCGUCGUUCAAUUGUAUUUCUAUUGAUUGUGGUUUUUUGAGAUUGUCCUGAUAAAAUAUUGAAAAGUAUCUCCUAUGUUUGUUAAUUAAUAAUUGCUUAAAAUUUAGUGACUUGUAAUAUCUUAAUACUCGAUAUUGAUAUUAUUUGUUAUGCUUAAAUUUGUUCAGACUAUACUAGUUAAUAGUUAGUAGUAUUUUCUAAAAAAUAUUUUUUCACUCACCAACCAAACACUAGAAAAUAUAUUUCUGAAAAAUACUUUCUACUCACCAAUCAAACACCAUAAAAUAUUUUUUGGAAAAUAUUUUCCUCACCAACCAAACUUGAGAAAAUAAGUAGAAAACCAACUUACUUUCGAGGAAACUUUUUCAAGGAAAACAUUUUCCAUGGAAAAUAUUUUCCAUGGAAAAUAUUUUCCAUCAUACCAAACACACUCUGUAAUCUUGUAUAUGAGUUUCUUAAAGUACUAUAAUAUGUAAUGUAUAUAUCUUUCAACUUUAAGUGCUAUUUAAAGUAGUAUAUAUUCUACAUAUAUGUGUAUAUAUUUUCUAUGUUUUCUAAAGUAAUAUAUAUUUAGUGUAUAUAUGUUGUAUGUAUAUUAUGUAGAAUAGUAUAUAUUGUAUUGUACGUAUAUAUGUGCCUAUGUUCCUAUAGAAUCUAAUUAGUAUCUAUUUAAAGUAUACACCCAUAUAUUUUUUCUAAAGUAGUAUAUAUUUAGUGUAUAUAUGUUGUAUGUAUAUUAUGUAGAAUUGUAAAUUUAUAUUGUAUUGUGCGUAUAUAUGUGCGUAUAUUUCCUAUAGAAUCUAAACUAGUAUUUAUUUAAAGUAUACACACGUAUAUGUUUCUAAAGUAGUAUAUAUUUAGUGUAUAUAUGUUGUAUGUAUAUUAUUUAACAUUUUUAGAAUGUAUAUAGAUGUGUAUAUAUUAAAAAAUAUAUGAAAAUAUGAUUUUGUUUAAAAAACAAUUGAGCAGUUUUUACCGGUUUUGACAGGUUUUUACCGGUCUGGACCGCAUAAUUACUAAGUGGGUUGAUUCCGGUCCAUUUGAGCAUACUUUCCUGUUUGGGCCCUGACCGAACAGACCCGUUUACAAUGACCCGGUACAGGAACCAGCCCAAAAUCGAAAAAUUUUCACGGGCCGAUGUCAAUUUGACCCGGAUCGGCCCACUUAACAGGUUUAGUAUAAAUAGCCCAAUAACAUUGAAAAGGAUAAAGUUAACUAAUAAAUGAAAAUGGAAUAGUAUAUUUUACCUAUUUUUUUCCUUUUAAAAGGAAAAAUUAUACUCUAUGUCCACUGAAAAAAAUAUUACAUGCUUUAGCUCAUAUUUUCUAUUUGUUAUCCCAUUUAGCAUAGGAUUAAUAUAAGCACCUUUUUAUACUAGUAUACAUUUUUAUAUAAGGUUUUUGUUUUUGGUUUUUUCAUUCGGUGUCCGGUAUCCGUAUUGGAGUCCGAUUAAUCCGGAUUCUUGCCGCGUAGGGUCCCAUUUGGGGGGAAGCGCUCCCUACCAAGGAUUUUUCAUACCCAGGGCUCGAACCCGAGACCUCUGGUUAAGAGAGGAGCAACCCCAUCCGUUGCACCACAUCCUUUGGUAGUCAUUUUUAUAUAAGAUUGAUACAUAAUAUUUUCCACAAGCCACAUGUAUAAUAUUGUAUGAAGUAAAAAUAUUGUACUACAUGAUGUAACAUUUUAUGUUUGGCUAUAUAAAAAUUGGAGAUCUUUCAGGAAUAGCAGCACUUUGCUAUAAAAAUCACAUUUUAUAGUCACAUUUUACAUAAUUACCAUUCGUAGCAGAUAUAUUCAAUUUACGCCCCCCUGUAUUCAAUUUUAUCGAUAGUAUAUAUUCAUAUAAAAUAUGAAUCCAAUCCCUAUUUAGCCACUGUAUUCGAUUCACAACCACUAUAUUCACUUUUACUCAGUGGUCUGUAUUCACAAAAAAUAUAAAUACACUACAUAUUUAGUCUCACCAAAAACACUGUCAUUUUUUUAUAUUUUUUCUUUUUCGUGUUUUCCUCGUUUUUUCUUCUUCUUCUUUUUUGUAUUUUUAAUUUUUUUCUUUUUUUUAUUUGUUUUUGUCUCUCUUCUAUCUCUAGCUUCUAUUUUUCUUUCUUCUUUUCUUUUCUUCUUUGAUUUUUUUCUUUUUUUUUUUGUACUUAUUUUCUUUAUCAUUUUUUUGUUCUAUUUUAUAUUUUUUGUAUUUUUAAAAAAUAUGACUACUCGAGCACAAGUCAUGGAUGAUAACGUAAAUACCACAAUUGUUAUCGUACUUAUAGUCACACCGUCAUUUAUAUUUUUGUAUUCAUUGAUACAACUAUAUUUGUAUUUGUGUCUUAAAGUUCACACUUGUAUUAGUAUUUUGUAGUUCACAUUUAUAUUUGUAUCUUAUAGUUCGCACUUGUAUUUGUAUUUGUUAGUUCACACUAUCAUUUAUAUUUUAUAUAAUUCGCACUUAUAUUUUAAAGAACUGUUUUGUAUUUUUAAUUUAUAAUUGACUGUAUAUUAUAUUGGAUUAUAUUUGUAUUGUGAUUUUAUUGUGUUUGUAUAUUUAGAUUAUAUUUGUAUUUGUAUUCUAUUUUCAUCAAUGUUUUUUUAUUUUUAAAAAAUUAUUUUAUUUGUGUAUUUGUAAAUUGAUUGCACAUUGUAUUUAGCCGUGGUUAUGUACAAUUUAUCAUUUGUAUACAAACAAGUAAAUACAUUAAUUGUAUUUUCUUGAUUCUAAAACAUAUAAAUAUGUAAUGUAUCAUUUGAUACAAAUGUACCGUUUUGCAUUUGUAUGUCAAAAUUAUCAUUCGUAUUUGUAAAUAAACAAAGAUCAUUCGAUACAAAUAAAUGAUUUUACAAAUACAAAUACAAUACAUAUUUAUAUAAAAAUUUGAAUUGUAUUUAUUUGUAUCAAUAAAUACAAAAAGAGAAAAAUGGAAAAAAGAAAACGAAAAAGAAAAAAGUGAAAAAAGAAAGAGAAAACAAAAAAAAUGGAAAAUAAAAAAAUUGAAAAAGGAAAAAAAAAAGAGUAAUAGAAAAUAGAGGGGGGAAAAAAAAUACAUAAGAGAGGCUAUGAAUUGUUAUUAGGAAUAAUUAAUAGACAAGAGAGGGCUAUAAAUUGUAAUUAAUUAAAACUUAAGCUAAAUAAGAUAAUUAAGAGUCUAUAUUUGUUAAGUUAUGUAGUUAUCCCAUAAAAAUUUUCGUUUUCAAAAUAUAUGGUAAGUUGUCAUUAGAGUUAUCCCAUAGAAUGGGAAUAUCCCUUGGAAUUUAAGGCUUGAGUAAUCUUCUCAUACCACUGUCUACUAGCUUGCUUCAAAUCAUAUAAUGAGUUAUUUAACUUGCAUAUUAUACCUAGUGCAUCAUUACUUAAACCUUAAGGAAUGUCCAUGUACACUUUUUCAUGCAAGUCACCAUGCAAAAAUACAUUAUUGACAUCCAAUUGGAAGAUAUUCCAUUAAUUUUUGACUACUGUAGCAAUGAAAGUCCUCACAGUUAUCAUCAUUAAAACUGGUGAGAAUGUUUCACCAUAGUCUAUACCAGGAUGUUGUGUGUACCUUUUCACCACUAACCUGGCUUUGAAUCUCUCUAUGGAACCAACAACUUUAUGCUUGAUCUUGUACACCCAUCUACAUCCAGUUAGUUUUUUGCCUCAGGGAAAAGGUACUAAACUCCAUGUACUAUUGGCAUGAAGAGCCUCAAACUCUUGGAUCAUAGCAGUUUGCAAGCAGGGUACAUUGAUGCCCCUUCAUAAGAAGUUGGCUCAUUGUCAUGACAAUGUUUCUUAAACAGUGCUAACUAUCAAGGAUCAAAGCAUUAGAAGUUAUGUGGCUAUAUAAAGAGAGAGAAUCAUACAAAGAGGUAGAAAAUCCCUGAGAUGUGGUAGGUUAUUCAAUUCGGGCAAAUGAUGGACAUUGUUUGUGAGGUAUGAAGGAACCUUAGAUGUCCUAUUAGAUUUUCUAGGUUCUACAUGUGGUUGAGAGGAGGAAGUUAGUGGUGGUGAAGAAAUAGGAUUUGAAUUAGCCUGUGGUACAUAGGUAUCAGGUACCAGAUAUGGACUUAUGGUACUCUCCACUUACUGAUCAUUUUGUACAUUUUUUGACAACUCUAUUCUCGGACUCAUAAUAUCUUCAGUGAAGUGAAGAACAUCAAGAAUUGGAGAAUUUUUUGCACAGACUUUGGAGAAGGAAAAAGGAAAAACAAUUUCACAAAAUAUAACAUCUCUAUUAACAUGUAAUUUUCCUGUGGCAUGACUUAAGACCUUGUAUCCUUUUGUCCCAAAAGGAUAGCUAAUGAACACAUAUGGCGAGGUCUUAGGAUCAAGUUUGUAGUUGGUUAGCAAAGGCAACCAAAACUCUUAAUAUAUGAGUAGGUAGGUUUCUAUUUAUAUAGCAGCUCAAAAGGAAAUCUAAUUAUUGUUGAGAAGAUGAGUAGAAAAUCUAUUGAUGAUAAUGUAGAGUAAGUAUACACUCUUCCCAAUAUUUAAGUGAAAGUUUGGAUUGAAAUAAAAAUACUCUAGCUGUUUUCAAAAGAUAUUUAUUUUUUCUUCCCACCACACUAUUUUAUUGUGGUUUAUAUAAACAAGUUUUCUAGUGGAGUUAUUUCUUGGGACUGAAAGAAACUUAUGGCCUCACUACUAGUGAAUUCCAGACCAUUGUCUGGCCUUAUUAUCUUAACAAUUGUUUUGAAUUGGUUUUGGACCAUGGUUAAGGAAGCCUUUAUGACUUGAAGAGCAUUAGUCUUAGAGCUAAGAAGAUGAGUCCAUGUAACUCUACUAUAGUCAUCAGCUAAGGUAAGGUAAUAUUUGUAAUUAUUGUAUAUUGUCACAUGGGGUAUGAUCCCCACAAAUCAACAUAAAGUAGUUAAAAAAUAGUAAACCUAUCUUUGGUUUUGGUGGGAAAAGGGAGCUUGUUUUGUCUUUCCAUUGGACAAAUAGAACAUAAAAAAUGUUAUUUGAGUGAAUUUCACCAGGAUUGGCAUACUUUUCAUUUUAGCAAAAGGAACAUGGCCAAGUCGGUAAUGCCAUAAUAAAUCAGCACAAUUUUUAUCAAAUGCACAACUUGCCAUAAAGGACACACUACUUUUAUUGUUAUUACUGAAUAUAUGGUAUUCUACCGUAGGGGAAUGACUGGAAUGGGAAUGACUCAAAUAGUGUACUUUGUCAACUAAAUUGGACAUGAAAUUGGAAGGAAAAAACAUGAAGCAUGGAGACAAAUUUUGAUGGAGAAGUACUAUUGCUUUCCCUCAAACAGGUUGAGCAUAGUAAAUAGAGGCCAUCAUACGCAUUACUAAUCUCCAGAGGUCUCGUCAGUGAAGGGUUCUGAAAUAAACAGAAAGAAUUAGAAAAUGAAACAACACAUAUAAGAUAUGAAGUACGACUGGUGAUGGAAAUUAGGAUGUAUUUGAAGAAUGGGAUGAAUAAGACCCUGUACAAAGUGGUCUUGGGGGGCAGUACUAAAUUCCUCACCUUUGUUACCUUUACUUUGUAACCAUUAUAAAGUCUAACUAAUAGGGGAUAACGAAUUGUAAACACAUUAAUAAGCUGAGAUCUAUUAAAGGUCAUGUUAUGGGAUGCUCCUGAGUCUAAUAUCCACAAGUCAGUUUUGCCUUUGAAACAACAACAUGACAAUUUAUCAAAAUCUAUUGAAAAAGUGCAAGCAAUAGUACCUGCAAAAUUGACAGUUCCAAGAGUCUUAACAUUGUUGAUAGAGAAAUUUGGUCCAUAAGUGGCAAUGUUGAAGUGUUCAAGUAGAUCAAAAAGGUGAUCAAACUGUUUCUUGGAAAUGCUUACAUUAGGACCAUUAUAUGUUGAUUUUUCAUCCUUGGUAGAAGUCAUAUUUGAUCCUUCCGUGUAGUGGCUACUACUCUUUUGCCUUAGUUGUUGUUGAAUUUGUUAUUGUAUGUACUAUUAUGUGAUUUUUUAUAGUUAUCGCUAUAAUGAGAAAGUGAUUGGCUUGUAAGAAGUACCUAUGCAGCUUAUAACUUCUAUCCUAAAUGUGCCCUGGCCUCUUGCUGUGAUCACAUAAUGGUCUAGAUCUACUAGGUCCAGCCCAGAGCUCCCAAUAUAACUAGUUGAUGAAAAAUUAGUUUGGAAACUCUUUGUUCUUGUAGUACUGUCACUAGAGAUGUGGACUCACCAAACAAUUGGUUAUGUUGCUUUAAUUCUCUUUGUUUCUCUUCCUACACGAGUAGUCCAAAUGCUUAACCCAUGGAAGGCAACAGGUCCAUCUACCUCUAAUUAAUGUAUAAAUGUUAUUAAGCUCCAUAAGGAAUUGAAUUAACCUUCGGUCCUAUUUAGUCUUAUGAAUGAGGUCUUUAGCCCUACAAAUGCACUGGCAUGUGAAUAUAUGUUUUGUAGCCAAUACAUUCAAUUCUUCCCACAACUUCUUCAUCCUGGUGUAGUACCCUGUGAUAUCCAAGGCAGUGGCGGAUCCAGCUCAUAGUGAAGGAGGUUCGUCGGCGGAAAAUUAUACUAUGUAUACAAGAUUAAAAUUAUUUUUCAUAUAUAGUUAACGCUGAACCCCCUUCGACUAAUUAUUUAGUUCACAUUUUUCAAUUUUGAACCCCCUCAAUUAAGAUGCUUGCUCCGCCACUGAUCCAAGCACCUUGACUUAAAUCAUUUAUUUCUUCUGAAUUUGACACAGUUUAGCCCCAUUAGUUUGAUUAUAUUGAUCUUUCAGUUCUCUCCAAUUUUUUGCAGAAUCAAUGACAUACUCAACGCUAUCAGCAAUAUCCUUAGAGAGUGAGUUUAAGAUCCAAGAGGUGACUAGGUUGUCGUACCUUUCCCAUUGACGAAGUUUACUAGAAUGAGCAUCUAGUUUCCUACACUCUCCAGUAAUGAACCCAAGCUUAUUUUUGACUGAGAAUGACCUCAAUGCACUCUUUUUCCAUGAGUGAUAUCCAAUUCCAUAAAAAAUAACAUGAACUAAGCUUGUUCUAGCACUAUCAGAGGGAUGAAUAUAUAGAAGAUUACUUGUAUCAAUCGUAGCUUCAGUAUUAGAGGUCGCACCUUAAUUAUUUGUUGUAUGACUGCUACUUGCAUUGUUGACCACUAUUUUUGUUGAAAAACGAUAUUAGUCCCAAAUUGAGGAGAAAGCAAAUCAACGGAAAAAGUAAUUCACCCCGUUUGAUUUGAUGAUUGUGUUAGCAAAUAGGAAGAAAAGGAAAAGAGAAACUCUCUAAAUUUAAGAAUGACUUUUGAUGAACAAUGUUGGAAAUUUCCUCGAUCACAGUGAGGCCAAAGUAUGAAAGUGAUGCUUUGAGCUAUCCGAGCUCUGAUACCAUGUCAAAAUUGCUUCAAUCAGUCUCCAUUAACAAGGCUUGAACCCAAGGAGGAUGCCAAGAAAUGUAGGAAACAGAGAAUGAAAGGGAAUCACAUAUUUGAGAAUGAAAAACUGAUUUCAUUCUAUGUGGAAGGUCUAUAUAUACACGGGAGAUUGUAUUAGGAAAUAUCUAUGUGCUAACAAUUAAGCUACAACUGCCAUUACUAAACUAACCGAC